AAUCACAGAGGGAAGGAACAGAACGAGGCUGUCAUGCAUGCUUCUCACAGCUGCCUCUGAUGUCCUCUUGCGGAUAUCGUAUCCUGAUCAGCUUAGCUCGCCUCAGUCCGGCGCAUACAACCAAAUCCAAGUGGAUAUCGUAUCCUGCCUUUACGUACGGCGACUUAUCUCUGUCGAUGAACUUGAAGAAACGUCCCGGAUUUCGAUGCGAUUCGUCCAGCCGACAACAGCUGCUCUGCCUCCACCCCUGUCCCCCUUCUCUCUCUCUCUCUCUCUUUUGCUUGGCUUCUUUGCUGCUCUUACUUCGGCUGCAGAUUUUUUAUCCUCGCCUCGGCCCUUGGGAGCACUGAAAGAUCGCACGGUGGAUCUCUCUUUGUUUGGCUCUUCUCCUUGUGGAUACAUCAUUUGAUUGGACGUCACAUCUACCACAAAGAAGACUGUGCUUGAGGUCUUCAGUUGCUGCACCGAGGGUGCGUUAUGUGGUCGAAUGGCGUGCGAUUCGUGUCACGCUUGUUGAUGUCCCAGAUCCUGCAACGGGUACUGGUCCUGCGGCGGAGUCAGGCGGAGGACAUGCAGUCGACAGCGCGCCGGAAGUACGGCAGACUCAUGUGACUGUACCCUCUCACGAGACUGUGUCCUCCUAAAUAAUCUUUUCUUUACGAUGACUGUAAACUAAAUCGCCAAUCAUACAUCUCUAAGCCUCUUUGUUCAACUUCAUCACAGAAGCCAGACUCAUCAGAAUAUAUGUUUCGAGUCGCUCCGUCACUUUGUGGCGUUGAACGAGGAAUCAGACAAAGCAUAGAGAAGAGAAAAAAAGAGUUUGGAUCGAUCGAAACUGUAAAUACCGUCUGGUUCUUGAAAUACUAUUAAUUUUUUAUAGGAUACUUGGCUGGGGAUCUAAUUGCGUGCCGCUGUUGUGCACCACCUGUCACCAUCACCCUCUUCGGAAGCUGCGUGACAGCCCCAGGGAUCGAUUCGAUGUCCAAAGGAAGCAAACAAAGCAGGAUGGGUGGCCUUUCGUUUUGCUUGUUUCGGUUUCCCGUCACAGAGCAGUGUGCUAAUACGUAAUCACAGAAGUAGAAAGAACGAAACCAUCCUUAACUGGUUGCAGGGCAGCCUCUCCUUCGUUCGUGUCCAUGUUGAUAGGCACGAGCGUACGUGGGCACGACGAUGACUGCGAUGGAGAUACGCCUUCCCUCCCCCAGUGUUUCAGGUUUGACUGCGCUCGCCUCUCGCCCGGUGACGUGCUCUGUCGGAUGUCUGCUCAGCGGUGCUGGUGAAGUCUUCACAGUGUGACUGUUCUUCGCUCCCUCCGCCGCCUUCGGAGAAGGAAAGAAAGCGAGCAGGUAGCGUCGAAGGCGAAGGCCAAGACGAUCUCUUGGACGAAUGACUUGUUUGUUUGCGGCCAGCAGCAGUUAAUAUGUUGUUGCGUUCACGAAAUGUUUGCUAUAAUUUAGAUAGAAAAUAAAAAAGAAAAAAAGCCUUCCUAUUGGUUAAUAUGUUAUUUACAAACAGUCGAAGGAUAGGCAUGUCAAUAUCUCAAAAGGAUAAAUACACAUGUAUUAGAUCUCAUUCGCUAUAAAGGAACCCAAAGAAGCCCUCCUUAUUCGCUGCUCUCACAGCUGCGGCAGCCUUUCCUCUUGCACGGUGACGCAAAACGAGCAGGAAGCAAGAGAUGAAACGAAGUCGAGCAGAGGGCGCGAUGCCGUCCUCGAAGGCCUCCGCCGAAGCCUUCGGGAAGGCUCAGCGAAGGCAGAAGGCGUCGACGCCGAGGCUGGCGACGGCGGUGGCUUCGCUGGAGAACGCAGCGGCGAUGGGCGGAGGAGAUGACAAGAACCCUGCUGCUGCUGCUGCCUCCGCCGCCGACAUACGGCAGCCGUCUUUCAUUCCCUCUGCUCCGGCGGAGGAGGAAGCGGUGGGGUGGGGGGACGGGGCGGCGGAGCUGGGAGAGUGGUGGUGGUGCCUGUGGGGCGUGGAGGAGGAGAAGCUCUUGGGCUGGUUCCCGUUCGUGGACGAAGACUUCCUCUGCUCCGAUAGCAGGGGAAGUGAGGGGCCGGGCGGCCUGCUCUGGGAAGAGGAGGACCAUGAUAUCUGGGAGCUGCAAAACAUCCACGAGAUCCCACACGCAGCAGCCAAAUAAUUAAAGGUGGAAAUUGGAGGGAAAGUAGGAAUCAGUGUGAAGAAGUAGAGGACAAGACAGAUUAGGAAGAGAAAAGGAGUGAAGAAAGUAACAAGACAUGGGUGAAAGAUUGCAGCUUUGGAAGUGAAGUGGGUUUUUAAUGGUUUCUUGGUUGAUUUUGUGGCUUUUAUUGCUCUGUUCAAAUAUAGCGCUCGGAGCUGAGGGCCAGGUGACUCACUCGAAGAAUGAUAUUUCUUGUGCUCUUGUCUUCUUCUUCUUCUUCGCUCUAAUUCUUGAAUUCUUCCACCUUCUCUGUCUCUGGAAGAUGGGAUUCCAUUUUGGCUCAGAGAUGGGUGAUGUGGAGCAAAGCAGGAAAUGAUGCGUUCUUAUAUUGAUCCUUCUGAUGCUUGUGUCUCAUAUUUCAUCUAUGUUUGUAUCUAGUAUUCUAGCUUUACAAUGGGAGGAAUAUAUUACCACAAACUAGAAAUUUCUCAAGAGAUCUAUAGGGAUGAUUUGUGAAAUGAUUCAUGGGCGGAGAGUAUCAUCUCUGCUCGGUUUGAUCCAGGAGGUUCUUCCGGGCUCCUUACGGACUCUGCUUCCAUUUUCUCUAUUUUAAUUCACUGCUAUGGUUGUAGAAUUCAAAUCAAUAUGAGCUCAUCUUACAAAGAAUGAGAGGAACAGUAGUUCCAAAAGAAGGAGAGAAAUCAUGUCAGGCGUUGGUUUUUCUGUUCAUGCUUGCCGCCGACAGCUGAACUGAAGCUUGUCCAACAGCAUGCGCAGGCUUUGGUUCUUUGUACCGACAGCCGAAGUAGAAGAAGCUAAACGGUGUCAUUAAUUGGUUCUGUGCGUGUACUGUGGCUCUGUAUUAAUGCUGCAAUUUUCCGGUCACCAUCUUUGUAAUGAUAUCCAUUGAAUGAUCCAUGAGACGAAGGGCUGAAGGUACAUGACAGCAUUACGAAAGGAAAUUAACAACCAACUGCACAUAUUACGAGUGUUUGAGCUUACAGCGUUAUUGAUUUCUGAGUCAACAAUAUGCUUCACGUUGAUCUCGAUAUCAACUGUAAAAUGCUGCAUCUACUAUAGGGAGACAGGGGAAUCUUGUCUUGUUUCAGUGUCAGAUUUCUCGCGUGAUGAAUUAUUCUUCGUGAAGAGCAAGAGAUGGAGAAGUGCAUGCCAACUUUGCCUGUGCGACCUUCCACCGCUUGCUUUACAGCUUUAGCGUUGAUCGAAGUUGUUUCCCUGCGUCUUUGUUGCAGCAUGUGGAGUGGCAUCAGAUAUGAGUGCUUUGAGAUCAUAGUAACAGUAUUUAGGCACGCCUUUUUAUGUAAAGAAGGCAUUCUAUUCACCAGUAUGGAUUGUAAGAAUGGUUCUUCCUGUUUCCUACGACCAAUGUCGCUCGUCGGAGCAUCUUGAUGCAUGUACAAGCCACUGCCAUCGAGCUCCUAUUCGCAGACCAAUAAACACAGCUGUAAUCCUCCUGCUUUGAGUUCCUUUUCCGGCUACCAAUCAAAAACUCGAAGCACUAAACGUUUGGCUACUGUUAAUGCUAAUCCUUUUCCCAGUCGCAGCCAUCAAAAGUGUUUCCUUCCCCUAAAGCGAAAGAGUGACUACACCAACUCGACUUGGUUGACGAAGAAUGAUAGGAAACAAAAAGAGAGCAGUUUCUGUGCUGUGACUAAAAGAAGAAUAAAGACGGCUAGAUUAAUUACUGGUCGGUGGAGAGGAUGAAGUCACACUAAGGGUUUCUUGCUGGUCUAUCAUCCCUCGUCUUCGUGAGAGGCUCAGCCAAGCCGAAAACACCUGUCAGGCGCAGAUCACGAGAUGUGAUUUGCAGCUGGCAGGUUGGUUUCAGAUGACCUCCAAUCUCUCCGACUGCAGAGGCAUGUCCUGGCAAAUGACUGUGCCCGUAAACUGAGCUUUCCGAUCUGCUAUGAAGGCGGCAGCGGCAGCCGACAUUGCUGGUCUCUCCAACAGUCAUCGUGUCCUCCUUCCGUGCCACAGUGCGCAACCACGGGAAAGCUCAUCUCAACGAUGCCUCGUUGGCCACAAGUUGAUGCCCACCCCUCUCUCUCUCUCUCUCUCUCUCUCUCUCUCUCUCUCUCUCUCUUGGACAUUUCCUUGAUACGGACUCGAACUUGCAGUUGGGACGUAUGCGGCUAGAAAUGUACGUACGUUUAUCUUGACACCAUCGUGUUUAUUUCGCCUUUUGGCCUUUGCAAGACCGUGUCAGCCAGUCACUUCAUAUCCCUCCUGCCUGGAACCUCCGAGCUUAUCCUAGUCCUCGCGAGACAUGGCGGUGGUGGGACUUUGUAGAAGAUAUCAAUAUCGUGUUUGUCUAUUGAAGACAGAUGGUUAGAUUAGGUUUCCGAGAAGCUACCCCCGAGUGUCAUGAUAGAGAGUUUUGAUGGUGAGGAUGGAUGAUGAUCGGCGGCAUGUGCAGCUGCCUCAACUUACGGUUUCAUGGAUGCUGCGAUGAAUUUUCCGGUGACGAUUCUCUAACUUUCUCGAGGAACACGUAGCUGCAGCUGCGAUCCGCAACAGGUCCCCGGUUUACCCACAUCUCUAUGGAUUGGUGGAAGAAUGAGCAGAGGAAGUUUCUCUCGAGGUUUAAACAACGGUAGAGAAAGAAGGAUUAGUCUGUUCUUGAGAGGAAGAAGAUAUAUUUAAUUAAAUUUUUUAUCGAUUAAGCUAAUUAACACUUUUGAUAUCUGUCUCUUUGGAGUUUGGUGACCCGUCACCGCCUUCCUCGCACCGAGGAGAAAGCGGUGGGAGAAGCUAUAAAUCCUCGAUGGGGCUGUCUCACGCUGUUGCACGUUUUGCGAUGCAACGAAACAAGGAGUCAACCUCGGUUUACGUUGACAGAGACGGUCAUUAUUUGUAUAUCCACAUACAAAACAUCUAUCCAUUUUAGGUACACAAGGAACCGAGAGGACUUUUCUUUUGAUGUGAUUCGGCAUACGGACUCGAGAUGGAUUGGGGCGUUUGCGUUGCGUGGUGGCGGAUCCGCAAACACGCCAGGCUUGUCGUUCGGAUCAUGUGCGGCUCACAUUGAUGUGAACUCCCAAAUCAAUCGUGCUCCUCGGAUGCGAUUGAUUGAUGCGCACGACUCCUUCGAUGGGAGGGUGAAAUCUGGGGAGGUUCGGACGCCCGGUCCAACUCUCCCAUGUGAUCCGCUCGUCGUCCGGGCGGACAAACUGUCCUGCCGAGUUAGGAUGCUGUGGCCAUCACCCAUUCAUUGAGGCAGUAGCCAUCAUGAUUACGAUGGACUUAAUCGGUGCCCAUCUCGGACCGAACCGGUUGAACCCACUUAAAGGCUCUGGAGCCUUCGGUAGGCGUGAACCGGCGGGCCCAUGUUCCUUGCCUAUUCCCUUUGUUGGGCCCACGGUACGAUUUGAUUGACUUCACGACUGGGCCCCGCAAAUGAACUCCCAUUCUUGUGGUGGCGGUGAGGGCAGUACGUCACGUGAUCUGACACCUACCGGCCUUUUGUGAGUCACCGUUCGAGAAAGCAAAAAAACAAAUGCCGCAAGAAACGCUUCCCACCGAGAACGAGAUGGCUUCCAAGAACAUCCAGCCGAGCUGAGAAGACCAAGCCGGGCUCCGAGCUGGUCCCCUCCCUCCGGACGCCAACUCCGGACUUGAAAUCCGGCUCGAUGCGGACGUGUCCUCUUAACAUUUUGGCCCUCCUACUUUCACCUAUUAUAAGCACGAACGAAAAUUCCGCCUUUCCCACUAUAUAAACCCCCUCCCAGCCGCUCGGCCGUGUAGACUCGCGUGCGCUUAGUGCUUUGCCUUUUUAACCUUCCUACGAUAACCCUCCCCUUGCUUUACCGCUGUCUUCGUAUUGUACACCGACGCCGAAGUAGUCCUUUCACUAUCGCUUCCCUAAUCCACGCUUGGCCUUUUAGUUCCUAUGGAGGAAUCCGUCGAACACAAGAGGCGCCGAGGCGAGGAGGAGGGCUUCCCGGAGAGUUCCUCGCCCGCGGCCAAGCGCCUUCACGAUGACCUUCUCCUUGAUGACGACGACGCAGGCGCCCGGGAGCAGGACCUCGCCUCCGUUAUGAAGAGCCUGGAGGAGGAGAUUUCUCUCCCGUCGCCUAUGCCGCCUCAGUCGCAGGCUGCUGUGUGGACAGACCAGCCGGAUUUGGGGUACCUCUGCGAGGCCUCCGAUGACGAGCUUGGCCUACCGCCGCCUCCUUCGGUUCCGUCAUCGUCCGUCGAGGGCGGCGAGGCCCCAGAGUUGGAAGCCUCCACUGUCGCCACCGAAGGAGGUGCGACGGAGGCUGUGGAGAUCGGUCAGAUGUGGGGAUUCGACGACGAGUUCAACGGCUACGGGUGGCCAGAUGAAGUGUUCGGGAUCGGGUCGGAGUGUUGGGUGGUGGCGGAGUCGGAGAACAGGAUGCUGUUCGAAGACGCUGACGCCGCUGACUGUUCGCCGGCCGACUUCGCGGAUAUCCCCUGGCGGUCGGAGACGCUUCCCGCCGUCUGAUCGAUGUCGGACGCAUCCAGCUUUUCUCCAUUAAAGUUUUUAGUUUGUAAACUUUCGAAAAAAUAGAAUUAUAUAUAUAUAUAUUUUAAAAGGACCCAAAACUUGCAGCAGAUCCGAAUCGCUUCAUCAAUUGAUGUCAUCUGAUACGAGAAAAGGUAGGGAAUUAUAUGUACUAUGAAUCUGUGGUUGCCCUUCUCAAUGGAACUCUCGUGAACCUAAUAACCAUGAUAUAGUGAUAACAACUCAAUUAUAUAUCAUAUUAAAUGACGUAGGAGAUCCAAACAUAUUGAAUGAUGCUCCGGCACCAUGUCAAGUGUCUUAUUGUGACGAUGAAAUGAGAUUUAUAUAUUUGAUUUCUUGGGGAUGGAUUUGGUGCCCAUCAGAACCUAUGGCUUCUGAUUUGGACCGGGUUUGAUUUUGGGUCGGGCAAAUUAACCCAAAUUCAGAUGGAUUUGGGCUCGUCUAACCCUAUCGGAAUUCACAUUAUAUCCAAUUGGACCCGGUCCGUUUUAUUUAAACUUUAAACCCACCUCUCAUCGAGGUGUCGGCGGGUGGCCCUCCGGAUCGUGCGCGGUCGUUCCGUCUCCUUUCGGCUAGGCAUCCAGUGAUUAGGGGGUCUAGUAGCGCCUAUAAGACUCUGCCCUAAGCUUCGUGUUCCGUGCUCUCCCUUCUCUGUCUCUCUCUCUCUCUGAUUCUCCACUCCGAUUGCUUGUUCGUCGCUUCUUGUGACCGGGGACAUUGACUUGAUCCCACCGCUGCUUGGGGAUGAUCGAAGACUGGCCACCAUCAUCGCCGUUCGUUCUGAUGGCACCAAGUCUCGAGUUCGAAGAGGAGUCGAUGGGGCCACCGCCUCCCUAUUUCUCUUCGUUGUUCCUUGCGUGCUGCUGGAGGGAUCUCCUUCCUCAGGUGUGUCUUCCCCAAUUCUUGUUGCAAUGUUGAUCGCUGCGUUCUGAAAUGGACCGUCUGAAACGGGCUCAUUUACACUACAUGGGCCGGUCCACUGAGUUUACAUGUUCUUUUACUGGAGAGAAGGCAUGCCGACUGCGUGUUUUCACGUGCUCCGCACAUGGGAACUCGGAUUGGGAAGUGCGCCCACGUAUUUCCCAGGAAGAGGUCUUUUCCCGUAAACACACCAUCUGACUCACUUACACUAAUAAUGAAGUAAACGGCAUCAUCGUGCACGGCCUCCGCUCCGAGCGUGCGAGGUGUUGUUCCGCACGUGCCGUGCCUUUUUUAUAGUGGCUUCAUCUCUACAAACGGGUAUUUAAUUGAAGUUUUAUUGUUUAUCGUUGUGGUAUCGUCUAUUGAGCCUCACGUGAGGGCUGUAUGGUUGUGUGUUCUUAUGAAAAUUUGGGGUAGCUUAGUGGUAGUGAAUUUAUCGAUAGUUAAUAUGCAGUUGUUAUGUGUUAUCAAAAUCUUCCGUCUACGUUUAUAAAGAUUUAAAGUAGAUAAGUAUACAUUUUCUUAUUUUUUAUGAUAAGAAAGAUAAUAAUAAAUCUUUUAUUAUAAUGAAGGACAUUGUAAAUUUUUUUUUUGAUUUCUUUUGAAUUAAUCGAACUUAUAUCUUGGGAUCUCGUAUUACUAACUUAGGCUUCGAAGAGAUUUAAAAAAUUAUUUUUGAUCUUGAUCUCAAUGUAGGUAGUACCUUUGGAGCUCUCCGGAGUCAUCUCGAAACUACCAUGGAUCCACCUCGUAAGCAUGAUAUUUUUAUCUGGAAAACAUCUUAAAUAUUCAUAUACAUACAAAGGUCACAUCAGACUAACCAAUAGGUUAAUGAUAUUUUUUUUCCUAAUGUCAUAAAAUUCAACAUGUAGAGUCAAUGAUUGGAACCAUCGGAAACUUCUCAAAUGCCACUUUUUAUUGCCUUACAGCCUUACAACCCACGCAUUGCCAUGGAUGAAAACUACAUAAAUGAUUGGAAGAUAUGGCAAGAGAAAGUCCUCUGAUUGUUAGAGAAAAAGAACGUUACCAACAAAGGGAUGAAGACAAAAACAUCAACUUUUUUGACUGUUUGGUAUUGUGCUUGACAAAAUGCCACAGCCAGGAGACCUUUUGACGGGAAACUAAUACUGAUUGAGAAUUUAGAUGGUGGAUCGGGAAUUACAUUCAAUGUCCAUGGCUUACGUGAUCGAGGAUAAAUUGGACUUUAUCGUCAUUUGAAGUUUGAGAGUAAUGGUUGAUUAGAGAUUGAAUUAUCGCUAUAGAAUUUUGUUUGGUGCUAACAGUCAUAUCAAAAUUACAUUAAUUCAAUUUCUAUAGAUUACUUGCAUCCAUCACGUUAUAGGAAUUUAUGUGUUUGAUGAGAUUGAAAUUUCAUUCAAAGCAAAAGAGCCACUGCCGAUGUCACUGAUUGACAUUUGUUUUGGGAAUUAUAGAUUGAAAUUUUAUUUGUCCAGUGUCAAUGAUUCAAUCAUGUAUACAUUUCUAGUAGGAAGACUUUGGUAAGUGAUGCCAACCGCGUGUCCCGACUGCUGCACAGAGAGAGAGAGAGAGAGGUAAUGCUUGAGUCGUGGGACUUCAUCUCUUCUCUCCUGCUUGAGAUGUGGGCUCUGCCAAUAGAAUAUGGACAUUCUUUGUGUUGGAAGAGUCUACGCAUGCGGCCUCAUCACACCCACCCCCGUCACAAGGCGAACAUGUCAUCGAACAGUAAACCGACGUCCUUUCCACGAGUCCACGAACCUUCACCAUCGAAAGAUAAAGAGUAGCAAAUUCCCACUUUCGAUAUUGGUAAUAUUAACUUAUUUGUGGGGGUAAUAAGGAGAAGGUAAAAUCAAAUUAAUCACCGUAAUAAUAUAAAUUACUCGGGUAAUCUAUGCGCUGGAAACGUUUUGGUUUCCUUGUUGGUAUUUAUUCCAACUGUUGCCGUUUCCGAAUUAAUCACCCCAUCAAUUGCGUAUUUAUUCUCCCAGUUUGUCUCCGAGAUGUUUUCAUGGACCCACUUCUCCACCCGGAGGCUUCCAUGCGUGGCCCACUUUGUCUUCGAGCAUCAGUGGGACACCAGACCGGGUCGGCGUCGCGUUCCCUUAUCUCUACGAAUCCCAUCGUAGCCGUUAACUCAAUGGAUUCCUACUCGAGAUUCGUGACGUAACGAGAAAGGGCCCUCGGCAACAAAUCUGAGCCGUACGCGCCUCUGCGGACUUAUGUUUUCGUCACCUGCUUCGGUUUCUCUCAUUAUUAAUGCGAACAACCCCGUCAGUCUUCUUCCGUUCUCCUCCUCCCUCUUGGCUGUGGGGUUUUAGCGGUGAAGCGAUCGAGUCAGCGGAGAGGGAACGCGAGCUACGUUUAAGGGGCGGUUUGGAUUUAUGUCGUCUGGUCCCUUCGAUCUAUUGUUUCUCGGUGCUGGAAACUUGGGAGCUUCGGAUCGGCUACUGUGUGCUUCUGGUGUCAUCGCUGGUCUCUCCCUCUUUCUCAUCCUCAACUUCGUCUCCUAUUCUUCACAGUGGCCGAAGAGGAGGGAUUCGAUGCAAUAUGCAAGGUAUGGAUGUAUCGCACCCGUGAUCUUUGAUUGGAAACAAACAUCGGGGCAAACGCCUGAAGUUGGUUGCUUUCGGUGUUCUUGGUUGCAGGGCUGGUUUUGGAGUGACGUAUUUCGGAUUUCAGCAUACAUAUCUGUGUUGUUUCCGAUUCAUCUUCUUGAGAGUAACCCUUACUUGACGGAGAGAUCCAAAAAAGAAAAGCCCACCUUUUCGUUUUAUUUUUCCUUUUUGUUUUCGAUUUUGAGAGGAGAAAUGACGCCCGGUGAGCGCUUGUGUGGGAAACAGCAUCAUAAGCCGCUGAGGAGGAGGGGGAAGAAGCAACGCCACCGAACCGAAGCCGCUUCCCAACUCCAAUCCAGACUACUCGCAAGAAGAAUCCGCGUCGUCUUCGACGAUCCCGACGCCACGGAGUCGAGCGACGACGAGGGGAUGAACUACUCCUGCCGAAAGAAGAGGGCGAUUCACGAGUUCUCGGUGCUUCCCACAUUCCCUUUGUCGCUCUUGCAAGCCUCGUCGGAGGAGAGCAGCGGAAGGAAACCCAAAAACUCCCGGAGGCCGAAGGUCAUAACACUCGGCUCGGUGAAUUCGACUUCCGGCACCUCCCCCGUCAAGUUUAAGGGGGUCAGGCAGCGUCCUUGGGGGAAAUGGGCGGCCGAGAUCCGUGACCCCAUCCGCGGCGUCAGGAUUUGGCUCGGCACUUACGACACCGCGGAGGCAGCCGCCGCAGCUUACGCGGCUGCUGCGCGCCGCUUUCAGUCUGAGAAGAAAAUCCUCGCCGCCGACGUGUCCUCCAACUCCACCACCACCUCCACGUCAUCCUGUGCCUCGAUGCACUCCGACGCCGUGGCUGUGGCGGUGCCCCCCUCUCCCUCAUCCGUGCUCGACAUCUCCGCAUCCGCCAUCGCGGAGUAUAGCCAGGUGUCGCCCGAGAAGACCGCCCCGGCAGGAGCAGCAGAGCGGUGCUUCUCGGAGCUCUUGAUGGAGCAACAGCUGGCGUCCCCCUUCUCGUUGGAGUCGGCGUUCCCGUUCGAGUCGGACCCGUUUCUCGAGUCGGUGCUGCUCGACGAGGAGUUCGUGCCGCUGGAGUGCCUCCCCGUCUUUGAUGACGACAUCGUCGGCGAUGAUUUUCCCAGCCUCGAGGCCCUCAGCCAAUUGAUGGACUUCGAUCUAUGAUAGCGUGAAGGUUUUGCAGCUUAGUCUCCAGCAUCACUGCUACCAUUAUUUAUCUCAGCAAGAAAGAGAUGUGUUUUUCGAGAUUUUCGUUCAAUUUUGCUUCGUGAGUGAGGACUCUUGGGUUUUUCCGGAGCUGUAAGAGCCGCCCCCAAGAAGACGACUUUUCCUUGUCAUUGCUUGUUGGUCUUUUUCUCUAAAACAUAGUCUUGCUUUCGUUCGGCUAUCGCAAUGCGUUCGCCAUGGAAACUGUGCGUUCGAAGACUGGUCGCUUGUCCUUAUUCCCUCAAAGCUGUCUUCCAUUCUUGGUGGAUGCUUGUGUUGAUGAUGCCCGAGGGGGAAAAAAAGCAUGGCUGGUGUUGUACCGCAUGUUAUGCUCUCUGUUCCCCACAUUGUGAGCUCGGACUUUGUCUCCAAGCCAAGGUUGGUGGUGGAGUUCUUUAAUGCUGCCCUGCUGCUGAGAUCUUUUUGGUGCUCCUUGUAUAUGGAUGGUCGUCGAGCUCUCCGUCUCUGUCAAACAGGGGAGCUGAUACAGUGAACUUUCACGUGCCAAUGCUACUUUGACAGUGAAGCGUCAGUCGAGUCAAAGCUGCUUCUGCUCUUCUAAACGCAUCGAUCUUUUACGGUAUUAUAUUAUUCUUAGGUACACUACAUAAUUCUUAGUAGCCAUAUUUAUUACUGGCGUUUGGAGGAUGUAUCUGUUGGCCAUUGAGACAUUGAGGCCCUUCCCAUGGUCAUGUGUCACUCCUCUCUCUCGCUCGUAGAUAUGGUCUCUCAACCUGCAAUCCAUUUAGUCGAAUCAAUCGAUCUACUUAUGCUAUUUAGGAAGAGCCUAUUUUUUUGUUUCCGGUGGCAAAUUGAACAGUCCCAUGCUACCUUGAAGGUUGUGCCCCAAAUCUCCUCCUCCAUCGCCGGCAAAGCAGUGACCUUGUUCUUCGGAUGCUCAUAGCUCCUGAGUCCAGUGGACGUCGACAGGAAACACCCUUGUUUCAGAUCCCGACUGGUUAGCCAUUGCCAUACUCGAACAGCUUAUCGUACUAACCAAGGAAGUAUGGAGUCACCUGGCGGAAAUGAUGCCAAUGAUUUCCCGCAUGCACUUCUUAGUUCCUCGGCGUCAUCGGAGAAAGCUAGAUAGCCAUCGGCGGUUAUCCCCAUGAACAAGGGCACCUUACCAUCUCCGUCCUGACGAAGUCACACGAGUGAUGAGAAGUGACCACCUUACCAUCUACCGUGCGCGCCAUGAUGCUUACCGAUGCCGCGAACACCGUCGAGGUGACGUUGUCGAAGACGAUGAAGGCGAAAUUGCCUACGAGGUGAGCGAGCAUGAGGUUUGUGGGAUAAGGAGCGCGGUCUCGCAGUGCCCGAUACGCCUCCAUCACCAGCACCACCUCGCUUGCAUUCUUCCCCAGACCGUACUGGUGUUUCAGGCUCGGCAGGUUCUCCAGCGUCCCCUUGAACAAGCAAAAUAUCUCGUCGCUCACAGCGAACGACCUGCCGAGUACCGACGACGGGAGGCGUGGUUGGUGAAUCAAAGAGAUGAUACGUUGAAGGGUAGUAGUGCUCCUCACCUUGGUUGUAGCAGGGACUGGUUUUGAUGGUUGUAGGAGAUACGUGCAGCGCUGCCGAUGUUGAUGGCAACGGAGGAUGGGUUGUUCUUGAGGAAGGCAUCGAGGAGCUUGUCUGCGGUCUUCUUCGCCGUCGGGGUGCGGUGGCCGGCUCGGAUGAGCUCCUCCGGUGGGCUCACCACUGCGCCGCUGAAGACCCCAAGCAUCUUUGGUGGAGGAGCAGAACCACCCAAAACAGGAAGGCUCCUUUUAUAGGUCUUCUUGUGCAAUGUCACAGCAUGAAAUUUUCUUACCUUUGUAUGAGAUAAAAUAUGGUCGACCACAGGAGCAUGGAAGUGACCGCACUACAAGCUUCUUCCCCCUGUCGUCGUUACGAAGGAGACAACAAAGAUGGUUCUGGAAGCCGUUUCUGUGAAGCAAAACCACCAUGGCAGGCAAGCAAAGACAAAUGGGGGUAAGCGUUGGGAAGAUCGACACUUGUGGUGUUCAUCGGGUGGAUUCGGAGCAAAAGUGACGUGGAUUCCUUGGAAGAGCUCGAGUUAUGUAACGUAUGACGCUCUGCGGAACAAGCCGAGGCUCGUUACGAUUCAUGUGGGGGUCGCUGUCCGGAGGGGGAAGAGAGAUGUAGCAGAACUCUUAACGAAGAAGACAUCGAUAGAUGUCUUCCAACUUUUCGACGACAGCUUGAAAUAGCUUUAGCAGAGCAAAGUUAUCGUAGAUUUGUUCAGAACAUGGUAAAUUAAUGCUUACUUAAAGUCAGAUUAAUCGUGAGAAACUGUUCUUAAGACUGAGACUGGACUGGGAUCCACUAGCAAACAUGUGUUCGUAGGAUGUUAAGCCAAUGAUUCGAAUCAUAUUUUACAGGUAUUUUUAGGUUGUCGUGGAAGAAUUAAUGUAAAACUUGGCGAUUUCGAGAUAACGUGUAUUUGCAUAUCUUUAAAAAAGAGAUUUUUUUAAUCAUAUGUUUAAAUCAUGUAUAUAUAUGAUAAUUUUAUUUUAAUUAUAGAUCGAUUAAAUAUUAGAAUACAUAAUGAAUGUAAAGUUAUCAUUUUAUAUUUAUCUUUAUCUUGAUCGUCUAUCAUACCCCUAUUAAAUUAUUUUUUUAUAAAUAAUAUUAAUCUUGGAACGAUGUAAUCGAGAUACCUUAGGAGCGAGAGACAUUGUGAGAGAGUCAGCUAGUUGGUCAUAAAUAUAGACAUGCGAAGCAAGUAGUUAUGUCUGAUAACUUAUCUCUAAUAAAAUAAAAGUCGAGAGCAAUGUGCCAUGCAAGAGUGAAACAUCAACUUAAAGCAUAAGCAAGUGGUACUGACAUUAUCAUAGUAUGUAGGUGGUACUACGUCAAGUUCAUAUAGUAUAUUAGUGACAUAAUCAAAUUAUGCAACGGUAGAGACGAUGGCUUAGUGUUUAGUUUCAAUGGUAGAUUUUAUGACUGUAUUUUAUUUUUUAAAACUCUAAUCGAUCAGGUUUGCUCUAAGAAAGAAAAUAUAGGCUAAUAUAGAUGUUCUAUUAUCAGUAUUGUUUAACCAAAUAGGAUCAACAAAGAUAUCGAGAUAAAAUAAUAAGUGUUUCCGAAUAAGAAGUACUUGAUUGAGUCCUUUUAAAAUAUCGCAGAAUAUAUUUUAAUGCAAACCAAUAAAUGAAAUACAUGGAUGUGUAAGAGUUAAAUAUUGUAAGAACUAAAUACUUGUUAAUACUAUAUGGGAUCCGUAGUAGGGCUAUUAUCAUGUAAUCUGAUCGACUUAAUAUAGAAGAGUAGGAUUGUAAUUUCUUUCAUAUUAUAAAUAUUCAUCUUUAAUAAUAAAUCUUGAAUGUAAUUUUUUGAGAUAAAAAAAAUGAGUGAAUAUUAUCUUCACUCGAAAAUAGCUUAAGGUUCCUAUAUCCUUGAUGGAUAAUCAAUAAAUAAGUUACUAAAUGAAUUACUUAAUCUUUAUGAAAUUAUUACCUAUAAUGAUAAUGUUAUCAACCUAAACUAGUAGAUAUAUAAUAUAUCUAUUUUGUUAUUAUAGAAAAAUAAAUUAUCAGAUUUGGAGUUAAUGAAGUUAGCUCAUAUAAGAAUGAGCCAAGUUCAGCAUACUAUACUCUUAGGGCUUGGCGUAGUCUAUAAAUAUUUUUUAAAAAAAAUUAUAAAUAUUAUUUAAAAAUUAAAGAUGAAUGAAGCCAAUGGAUUAUUAUAUAAAUGCAUCUUCAGUUAAAGUCCCAAUAAAAAAGUAUUGUUAUCAAUUAGUUAGCAUACAUGUCUUGAGUGAUAGUCAAAUUAAGAUGAAUCAAAUUUUCAUUGGUUUAACAAUUAGAUCGAAAAUAUUUAUGAAAUCAACAUUUGAUCAUUGGUGAAACCACUUAACCACUAGACGUGUUUUACAUCAAGUAAUGGAUCCAUCUAGGUUUUACUUAAUUUAAAGAUCAACUUACAACCAAUGAUAUUUUGUGUAAGGUGAGAUAGUAUAAGAGUCUAUGUGACAUUAUGGAGUAGGACAUCAUAUUAUUCACACAUUGCUUUGUAUUAGUAUAGAGAUUUUUAAGCUUUGGUGAAGCUUGUGGAUUCAGUAAGGCUACGUGGAAAGUAUGUGAUAGUGUGAAUAUCAAAGAUUUAGUGUGGUUUAAAGAUGUCAUUUUUGGAACGUGUUAUCAUGUGGUUCAAUAAUCAAAUUACUUAGAUGAACUUUUAUGAUAGUCUUGAUGUUCGCUUGAGACCAACUAGGUAUGACGGUAAGCUUGGGUUAAGAUUGAUUAAUUUUUAUUAUAUGUUAAAUUUGUUAUCGAUAAUUAUAAUAAUUAUUAUGAUUGAAGUUAUUCUCUAAAUUGUUUGGGUUGAAGUUGACAAGAUUUGAUAGUGUAACGUACAGAUAGAUAACUGAUCCAGUCUUCCUCUUUCUUUAUUUUAUAUACGUUUCAUAUUCGAUUAUAGCACCGAGGAGCAAAUCAAAUUUGCGAGGCGAAGCAUGUACAGCAAAUCAUAAAUGGGAGAUCAUAUAGAGGAAUCGCGUGUCUUCGUUAGUGCAAGCGUUCAUUGCGGUGUGAGGAGGAUGCAUUGAUUGGAAGGAGGCACCGGUGAGGAGGAAACGGUGCAAUUGCUGCAACGAUGACUAUUGCUCCAGAUCAACGAGGAAGCAGCAGUGUUAUUACUGUAGCGACAGGGGCAGUAGGUGAAGAAGAGCAAAAGAUGGCACAGGAAGAAUGCUGCUGAGUAGAGAGAGAGAGAGAGAGAGGAAUCUUUGAUGCUAUAGUAAAUCGACGAGGAAGAGGGAGUUAUUGUCUUUGGAGCAGCAAGGAAGAGUAAGAAUAGUCACUGGGCAAUAAAAAUUAGCAAAGGAAUUGUUGUUGCCGAGUAACGAGGAAGAGGAAGUCGUGAUUGAAGCAAGAAAGCCUUGAUUUCGUUCCUUCAGGUAAUGUGUCUUUAUACAGAUUUAAGGGAUAGAUUUUUCUUGAUUAUAUGCUUAAAUUAUAUAUACAUAUAUAUAUUAUAAUGAUUGAUCAUCAAAUCGAUUGAUCCUUUGUCAGUUGUUACGGAUCUUUCUAAGUCCUGUUUGAUACUGCUACUACUCAACUACUUGUCAAAGACCUUUUUUUUUCGGGAGCAGAAUGGUAGAACAGCCAUCUGCACUUUAUGUCUGACUUUGAUCUGACACUACUUCCCUAAAGGCUUAGCCUGGAGAUUCGCUUGCCAUGGAGUUCAUAUUUUUGACUUUACUUGGCUCCCUCACUCUCCAGGAAUGAUGAAAAAGGAGAAGCACCAGUGCCAACCAAUGUGUUGCCUCACAGGGACGAGGUAUUUGAAGGCAUGCCGAUGCUGGACAUCAUGGACGUGGGUUGCCAGAGAGGACGACGGACUUGGAUGUGCCAACGUUUAGCUGGAGAAGACGAACAAAUGUGUCGCCGAGGGAUGUCUGCUCACUGAUCACAAUCAACAAGAGGACGACGAUGUGGUGUACAGUGACUGCUUCGACCUGCAUGGUCUGCUCCUGUGGAGCAGAGACCGGCGAUGCAGUGUGGGAAUUUGCUUGCCAACGACACAGCAAGAAAUGUGCAAGAAUAAGACACAGUAAGAUAAAAUUCAUACAACAAAUACCCACAGGUUCUUUACAUGAUUCGGAGUUGACACCAAUGAUUCUGAACUCUCAACUUAGGACCUACGUGAUCGUUACACUCUGCACUAUCUCAGUGUUGUGGGAAUCUCAAGUCAUGGAAAGAGGAGGAGCGUAGGACUGGCCGUGUUCUGGAGGUGGUCGGAACCUGUUCUUUGCGAAGAAGGAAGGGAGAUGGUGAGGUCAAGGUUCAGAUCAUCAGCAUCACGAAAUCCAUUCUUGGAGUUGUUCUGCAACCCGUUGGUCGCGUCGUCGAUACUCGAUCGAGUCGCGUUGCCGGAGCUGUGAGAUCGAUGGAGCCGUCCGUUGUGGAUCACGCGGUGGUUGUCAGGGUCGAUACCCAUGCUUGCCAGCUUCUUCCUCAGAUGAGAGUUCCAGUAGUUCUUGACCUCGUUGUCGGUUCGCCCCGGCAGUCUCCCGGCGAUCAACGACCACCUGAAUCAAUUCAAACAAAUAUGGAGCAUAUACGUCUCUUUGGUCAUUCAUCGGUCAGUAAGCAUGCAUGCAUGCAUACCGGUUACCGAGUAGAGCGUGGAGCUUGAUGAUUAGGUCCUCUUCAUCCUCCUCGAACCUCCCCCUCUUGACAUCGGGGCGAAGGUAGUUGAUCCACCGCAGCCUGCAACUCUUACCGCAACGAAGCAGACCUGAUUAGGAAAGAAGCCCAAAAAGCUUUAGAUGCUUUCGUAAACGCAAGCGACACUCGUGGCAAAAGUGCUCGUCGCCAACCUGCAGCCUCGGGGAGCGAUCGCCAGCAGACGCGGCCAUGCGCUCUGAUGUAGUCGAUGAGCUUCUGGUCCUCUUCUUUCGACCACGCUCCCUUGUUGUUGUUGCCUCUGUUAACGCAACAAGGGCUCCUCAUUGUUGCAGAGCAAAGAGAGAGAUGUGCGAAGGGAUGAGGAGGAGGAGAAUGUUGGAGGAUAUAUAGGAGCGAGGUCGGAGGACGAGGGAGGGAGUUGACUGGAAGACGGAUAGGUUUUGGGGCUUGUUAGUUGCAGUGGUAGAACUUAAAAGUCUUCGCGAGGCUUGAAGGAAAGCAAGCAACCAAACAUUGUACGCAUUUCUCCUCUUCUCACACGCACGCAAGCUGACCGAUAGAUUUCCAUGUUCCGAGCAGUCACCUCCCAACCAUCUCUGGUGGUCACCAGCUCAUCAUAUCCAUGCUCCUAGCUUGGAGCAUCACAGGGACUUCAACUUCGACUAGAACACGGCCUUCAUGGGACCUUUUCCUCUGAAAGCUGUGGAGUCGGUCGAUCAAAAUCUCUAGGGUUUUAUGAAGCUUUGUUGGUUGAUGUUAGUGAAUCCUUUCCAAACAUCUCUUUGUUGAUUGAUGUCCCGCUAAAGCUGUUGGGAAAGGAUUCACCGUCUGUCUACUAAUGAACUCGGAUGCAAAUUGGAAUUAGACUUUGUAUGUAGAUUUGAACUUAAAUGCGUGAUGUAUGUUAAAUAAGUUUUAUAUAUAUAUAUAUAUUAUAAUAUAAAAAGAUUUAAGUUAAUUUGAAUGGUUAGGAAAGGGUCGAUUCUAUACCAAAAUCUAACGAUUAGUCCUUCGUGCACAUGUUGCACGUAGGCACUACUAAGCACGUAGUUAGAGGAUCUGUUGGCGAGAAGUUGGGGCUUGACAUGACAUUUUAUUUUACUUUUAGAUAUUGGAAAGAGAUUGCUAAAUCAAUAAUAAAUAAUAAUUUUUAUUAGUAUUAUUUUUAUUAAUGUAGAUUAUAAUUGUUUGAUUAGGAUCUCGAUCGAUUCAACAUCAACUCCCAUGUUGAUCUCUUAUGGGUAUUAAGAAUGUAUCAUAUCCUCUUCGUCCAUAAGAUGGGAAGCUUUGUAAAAUACCAUUUCUUAAUAUUAGAAAUGGUUAUACGCCUUCCUCGAUAAUAAACAUAAUCGUUGUGUCUUAAACACGGAGAGCAUAUAAUAAUCAUAAAUAUGACUUAUAAUAUCGAAUGAGCGACACCAUAUCACUCACACAAUGUCAAUUACCAAUCAAUAACAUCAAAAUAUAAUUUUAUAUCUUCGUAUAAAUGAUCAAAAGAUGACAUAAAUAUGACUCUGAACGCUUAUUCUCAACUGAGACCAAAUAAGCGUAUCAUUAAUCUUUUUUAAAUACUAGUCAAAAAUAUUUAAAAUGAAUAUAUAGGUUUCUAAUUAAUAUAUCGAUUUAAGAUAACAGAAUCACAUUCGACAUUUUUACGGUUUAAAUAACAAUAACAAUAAUAAUAAUAAUAAUGAUAAUAAUAAUAAUAAUAAUAAUAAUAAUAAUAAUAAUAAUAAUAAUAAUAAUAAUAAUAAUAAUUCUGAAACCGAGAGACCGCCACAUUCCUUCGAGCAACACGUGUCUUCCCUGACAAGUUCGUCAUAAGUCGAACACAUGAUAAAAACGUUAGUGGGUCCCAGUGGAAAGUUUGCUGUGCCGGUAACCGAUGGGUUGGAAUGUGGUCAGUUCUUCUGACCCCGCAUAUUUGAGUCACACUGCUUGGGGUGUCGAAGGGACACCGAGAAGCAACGUCUUGUGUUUUAACUGUAAAAGCUUCCAUCGGCGGCUCGCUUCCUCUCUCCUUCGAUCUCUCUCUAAGGUGAAUGGCGCAGCUGUCAGAGACGUACGCGUGCGUGCCGGCGACCGAGCGCGGCCGGGGGAUACUCAUAGCCGGCGACGCGCGGUCGGAUUCGAUCGCGUACUGCAACGGGCGGUCGGUGAUCAUCCGGAGGCUGGACGCGCCGCUGGAAGCGACGAUCUACGGGGAGCACGCGUACCAGGUGACGGUGGCGCGGUUCUCGCCCAACGGCGAGUGGGUCGCCUCCGCCGACGUCUCUGGGACAGUCCGGAUCUGGGGGAGGCACGGCGACCGCGCCCUCAAGAACGAGUUCCGCGUCCUCUCCGGCCGCGUUGACGACCUCCAGUGGUCGCCCGAUGGCCUCCGCAUCGUCGCCUGCGGGGACGGCAAGGGCAAGUCCUUCGUACGGGCAUUCAUGUGAGGGAUCCCUUCUUCCAAUUUGAUAUUUUUUUCCUCCCACAAGGAAAAUAAGAUGGUUUGGGCUGAUUUAGGGCUUUUGUUUGUGUUGUUUUGGACUCCACUUUGGAUCGGAUUAAUACUUCAUACUAUGAGAACCAGUAAAACAGAGAAGAAUUACUGCCUCACGAGACCGCAAAAUGCAGUAGUUCUUGAAAUAUGUCUUGUUGAUUUGAUCUUUGCUGAUGUCACUUUGAAAAUAGAUCUUUCCUUUCCGUUCCAUAUUAACACUAAACCUGGUUGUUAUUGAAGUUCCUUUGCCGCCAUAUGAAACUCAUUGAAAAAUCUUUUGGCCCUUCUUGAUAUUUUUUUCGUUCGAAUUUUACCGUUUAUCUAUUUUUCUGGAUAACUAUAAAUUCUUCGUUCUUGCUGGAAAGUUUCUGCCACUUUUGACAAAUUAAUAGAAAAAGCCAUGUCUGAGCGUUUUGGGAUGCCAUGUUUGUCUUUUUUCUUAAAAAUUAUUUAUCUUUAGCAAACAUAAUCCAUGAGUAAUGGUCAUUUAUUCAUAGGAAUGCUAAUUCGUAAAUUUAACAUUGUUUUUGCCUUCCUUCGCAGACUAUUUCUGUUGUUAGUAGUGUUUUCAGUAAAUGUCUGAUCAUUGCUUUGGCUGUGGAAUUUUGUUCUUGUGUAGGUGGGAUUCAGGUACUAAUGUUGGGGAGUUUGAUGGACAUUCUAGAAGGGUAUUAAGUUGUGCAUUUAAGCCAACCAGACCAUUCCGCAUUGUCACAUGCGGUGAAGAUUUCUUGGUGAACUUUUAUGAAGGGCCACCUUUUAAAUUCAAGCUCUCCCAGAGGUUUGUUUCAGUUAUAUCAAGAAUGAUCCAAGCGGUUUUUUGCUGACUUUUUCUUUAUCCAGCUUUCUUAGCUAUCAACAUGUCAUUGUUUCCUUACAGUUUGUCUGAGUUUUUUUCUACAGUAUGUAUAGAAUAUUGUUGAAUGAUCAAAUAACUUACUGCUUAGGCACUUCAAACAUGGAAUUUGUCUUGUAAUUACUUACCCAUGCACUAGUACUUAAUGGUCUGAAAAUUUUGAAGCUUAGUGAGAUGUUCUUCUCUUGUUUCAUUCUUUACAUCUUAGCAAAAGUCAGAACGGUGACAUGCUUCCAGACAUUUUCAAAUGAAUUCUUUGGACAUAGAUUAAAAAAAGGUUCUCUGCCUAUAAAUGAUCCUUUCCUAUUCGGUAGUUCAAGAAUUAGCCCUUGCCAUCAAGUACAUGAAAUAUAUUUGGGCACUCUAUCAUCCUAUAAUUAACAAGAAUUUAGUAUGCUGACAAUAAUUAGCCCUAUUAUCACCUCAUAGUUUCUUCCUGUUGUUAUACCUCUCCCUAUUCUUAUUUUUCUCAUUGUCGCCCCAAUCACCACCACCUAGGAGGUGAACUAUGAGUUGGUUGUCAUGAAGCUAGUGACAGUGGUUGCAAUGGUGAGAGCUGGAAAAGAGGUGGAUAUGAGGUUGAUAGUGAAUACAGAGACCGUGUUGCAAUAGUGGCAGGCUGUAUAAGAGGAGGAAUGUUCAUGCAAGGACUGAAUUUUUGAACAGCAUAUUGAGUAGACUGUGGAAAUUUCUUAACUUGGUUCUCCUGCUUGUGCAGCAAACCUUCCCUUUCUACAUCAAACAUAAAGAUGUCAUGUCAGGACAAGAAAACACACACUGUCAUAUUUCACUUAUUGAUUUUGAACCAGGUCCCCUCUGUUUUAUUUUUAAAAAAAAAAAUCUAAAACUGGUGUCAUAUUUUACUUAUUGUUUCUUUUCUUGUCUGCUUUUUCCUCAUAGUUUGGAUAUCAGACUUGGACCAUUUUCUGUAAUCAUGCCACCUGCUUGUGUUCAUGUGAUAUGAAUAUGCAGCCCACUUCUAUGUUUUUUGUUCCUUGCAUGAGAUGGUAAUUGCUCUAAUUUGGGUCCUUUGUAUGUGACUGCUGCUGAAUAAGUCUUAUCUAUCAUCUCUGAUCUAUUUUAGUAGGUUUAGGCAUGUGCAAAGUCAUCCAGUAUACAUAACCUUUCAGACACUGGAAAAUAGUUUUGUCUCACCAAAAUUGUAUGCCACUCACUUCCAUGUGAUUUCUUUUUGCAUGAAAUAAUACGAAUCCUAAGAAUAGGUCUUGGAUAUGAUUGCUGUUAAAUAAGUUUAGAGUGAUUUCUUUCUGUUUUAGUUGAUUUAGUCAUAUGCAAAAUGAUCUAAUACGCAUAACCUUCAUCAUAUACUGGAAAUACUUGAGUUUCACCAUACUGAGAUUUUUUUAACCUUUUGUCUGUCUAUUUUCUUGAUCUGCAGGGAACACUCAAACUUUGUUAAUUGUGCACGGUUUUCUCCUGAUGGGAGUAAGUUCAUAACUGUGAGCUCAGAUAAGAAGGGUAUAUUAUACGAUGGAAAGACUGGAGAAAAGAUUGGGGAAUUGUCUAUACAAGAUGGUCACAAGGGUAGCAUAUAUGCUGUAAGCUGGAGUCCUGAUAGCAAACAAGUAAACACCUAUCUGUGAUUCCAUUCCUUGAUGUAAUAUAUUAUUUGAAGUUCAUGUUAUGAAAUAUUCUGACUCAAUUACUUCUUAUGGUUUCUCAGUUGAUCAGUUAAUUACUUGUUACUACUUGACCCAAUUUCCUCAUGUCUUUCUCUCUCUCUCUUCCUCUCUCAUCCUUGCUCCCUCUCAAGUAUGAAAUACAUAUAAGUUCACUUGUAGUUUUAUCUAGUAGUUCCUGAUGGGACGAAUGAAUUGUGUAUGAUUUAGCUGCCGUAGUCCUCAAAAUUAUUGGUGGGCUGGAGAGUAUGUAUGAGCUAUAAUUGUCUCCAAAAUCUCUGGUGGGCUGAAAAAUAUGCAUGCAACAAAAGCCCAAAGUAACAUUAUAUAACAAAAUAUGUCACUGAACCUAAUAAAGUUCCAGUUUGUGACAACAUUACAUCAACUUAUGCUUCCAAAUGAACAUUUUCUUGGGUCAUCUGGUCUUUGACUUUCUAAUAACAGCUUCAUUGUAUUAAGUCACUGUGCCCAAGUUUGUUUUGGACAUGAUCUUUCUUCUCACAUUUGAUUUUCAUUUGUCUUUGUGACUUUUUUUUAAUAAAAUGUGAUUCUUUUUUUCCUCGAAUUUCUCCAUAAGUUAUCUUGCUUGUUUGUCAAACUUAGGUUCUCACAGUAUCUGCUGAUAAAACGGCAAAAGUAUGGGACAUUAUGGAGGAUGGAUGUGGGAAACUAAGGAGAACAUUGGCUAGUCCUGGCUCUGGGGGAGUGGAUGAUAUGCUUGUCGGUUGUCUGUGGCAAAAUGACCAUCUUGUCACAGUUUCUCUUGGUGGAACAAUGACAAUUUUCUCAGCAAGUGAUCCAGACAAGUCACCGGUAUCUUUUUCUGGACACAUGAAAAGCAUCACCUCUUUGGUUUUUCUUCAAAGUGGUCAGAAUGUCAUCUUGUCUAGCAGUUAUGAUGGAAUUAUUACAAGAUGGAUACGAGGCAUUGGUUAUGCUGGUAAGUUGGUUAGAAAGGAUAGUACCCAAAUUAAAUGUUUUGCUGCAGCUGAAGAAGAAAUCAUUACUUCAGGGUUUGACAAUAAGGUGAGUGUUCUUAUUGGCAUGUUAUUCCAUUAUAGUUUUGAAAUUGGCUUUAGCUCUAGUUAUGCCUUCAUUUUGCUACAUGUUAUUUUUGAGAAUUAUUGAGUUGCACAAGCUCUGCUGUUUGUGCAUGUGAUUCCAGAACCAACUACAGAUUCAAAGGUGUUAUUCUAUUUCCUAUUUGUUGAUCAUCAUGAUCAAUGAGGUAUGACUAAUAAAAGCCACUGUUUUCAUGACAUUCUUUCGGAUAGUGGUAGAAUUGUAAAACACUUUACAGAUAAUAAGGUCUAUAAGAGAUAAACAUAUAUCUAAAUGAACACAUUGUGAUACUCCAAUUUAGUCCCACAAUGGAAGUGGGAGGAUGUCACUUGAUUAUAUUGACUAAAAUCCGGGCCUCAAAUAUUUUUUAGUUACAUGAUUUCAAGCCUCUCAAGUUGGUGGAGCAGUUUCUGAAUCUGAGUUGGGGUCAUGCUACUUGGUAAUAAAUCAAAUCUAUAGUAGGUAUUGUGAGAGGGUAGAGUUGAAAAAAACGUUAUUCGUGGAUAGGCCUGGAGGCAUAUCACGACAUGAGUCACUGUUAGACUAGUUGUCAUAUGCCACCUACUAACCUAUCAAUUAUGUUUGACCUUGCACCUUGAUGAGGAUGUCAAGUCUUAAGUGGAAGAGAUUGCCAUACUUCAAUUUGGUCCCACAUUUGAAGUGACAAGAUGGAACUGAUUAUCUAGGGCUACAUGGACUUAUUAUCGUUAAGUCAUGCUUGAGCAUUUUGGGUCAUGUGAUUUCAGGCUAAUUAAGUUUAUGGUCAGUUUUUCUGUUGAGCUGACACUUGACACUUAUUUUUCUAUUGAUUCAUCAGUUAUUUUUCAUAAAUUCAUUAAAAUUCUUUGGACAAAGAGGCUAACGACCUUUGUGAUGUCAUAUGCUUACUUGACUUAAUUUUGGUCUUUGAAAUGUCAGUUUGCUUGUUCUUUGAUCAUAGUUGGGGUCCACAUCUUGAUGAUUCUUAUGCUUCAUUUAUUUUCUUCAUUCGAUAUCUUUACUCUCGUUUCCAAUUGAACUCAAUUGGAUGGCACUUUCAGUUAAGACAAUGUGAUCACAAAAAUAAUCCUACAGAUUGACUGUUGUUGCUGUUUUGAGUGUUUUUAUCAAUAUUGGCAUUAGUAGAACAAGAUAAUGAAAUAGUUACUAGUUACAUGCACUAAGCAGUGAUAACGAAGUUCCAUGACAGUGAGUGGUUAGUGUGGUUAAAUUUGGGAGGUUGCUUUGCUUUUUGUCUGCAUUUGAUGUUUUCCAUCGAUACAAACAAUUAAAAAUUAUAUAGAAAUAUAUUUAUUACCAUAAUUGGAAGGUUCUUGGGAUUCUUCGAACUUUAUACAACCAAGCCUAAUCUACAUAGUAGACUCAAAUAGCUUUAAAAUAAGAAGGCAUUAAAGCCUAUUCUAAAUAUUUCAUACAAGAUAUAUAACUUUCACAUGUUUGCAAAAAAAUCGACACAGAUUAUUUGCAUAUUCUUGUCUAGGUGACUUAACAAACAAGUGGAAAUUGGGACUAACUGAUUUCUUGAUACCCUUUCAUGUUAAAUUUCCCAUCUGAUCUUCUCUGGUAAGAUUUGGCUUAUUGUUGUUAAAUUUCAUGUUAAAUUUCUUUUAGAAAGCACUCGUCAAUUUGAUACCCAUUAUAAUUUGUUGUUAUUGUUGUGGUAUUGGUAUCAUUGUGCAAUGAUAAUCAAGAACUAGUUUCAUUUAGCUGUUUAAUGAUUAUGGUCAUUCUCUAAAUCUUAUUUCUUUCUUCUGUCUCAAACAGGUUUGGAGAGUUCCUGUUAACGGGGAUCAAUGUGGGGAUUCACAGCCAGUUGAUGUUGGGUCUCAGCCGAUGGGUUUAACUGUUGCAGCUCAGACCCCUGAACUAGCUAUUGUUUCUACUGAUUCAGGAGUUGUCUUGCUGCAAGGUCCAAAAGUAGUUUCACAGAUAAAACUAGGAUAUGCUGUAACAACAUCUGCAAUUUCCCCUGACGGAAAUGAGGUCAUCGUGGGUGGUCAAGAUGGGAAACUGCACAUUUAUAGUGUUAAUGGAGACACCCUUACAGAGGAAGCAAUCCUUGAGAAACAUCGAGGAACUAUUACUGCUAUAUGUUACUCCCCCGAUGCUUCCAUGUUUGCUUCAGCAGAUGCCAAUCGAGAAGCUGUUGUGUGGGAUCGGAUAUCUCGGGAGGUAUGUCUUCUUAACUUGGUACUGUGUUGUCUGUUUAGAGCAUGAAGGUAAGAGGGAUGUGUUUGUUUUGCUUUGUCCACCAUCUCUUGAUUUUACUAGCUGUCUAUAAUGAUUACUGCUACUAGAAAACUGGUAAAAGGAAGUUAAUUAACGCUUACUGGGUUAACUAAUGUUAAGUUAGAACUUGUGGUAAAAUAAUGUACCACACACAAUUUUGUUUCUUAUAAGAUCCAUAUGUUCAUUUUGAUCGGGUUAACAACAGAAGCUUUUGCAGACAAUAGAAAAUGUUUAGGUAAAUUUUCUAAAAGCUUGUAUUAAAUAAGAAUAUAAAUGAAUGAGAUCAGCUAUCAAUUUCAGCACUCUAAUGGUGUUUCUUCAGGGGCUGUUUUAUUUACAAUUUGCUUUCCUUUCCAGCUGUCCCCAUGUGUGUCAGUAACAUACAACAUUUGGAACAUCACAUAUGGCAUGAUCUUUGUCAAAAUGUGUCAAACUAGGUCUACUGUGGGAUGGAAAGCCUUGAUCUUUCUGAAAUAUGCAAUAUAAGCCAGUUAUAGUUGCUUGCUUUGGUCAGUGUGUUUCCAACUUCAAUUUGAACUGUAUAUAUAAUAAACAUCCUGAUCCAUAACAUCAUUAUAUGCUAGUAUUGACAAAUAGGUUCUCUUUAGCUCCUUGAGCCAUCUGAAGAAAAAUGUUGGUCAUGAAUAUUAACCAACUAGUACAAACGAAACUUUGAGUAAUUCAAUUCUUAAUUGCUAUUGUCUGAGCAAGUUAAAGAAAAGGAAAAUCACGAACCAUCAUGCUGUAUGCCAAUGACUCAUGGAUGGGGUUUGUGAUUAUGUGAUACUGUAUUGCACAUGCCUUGCAGGUCAAGUACCAAGAGAUUUCACGGACAAUCAAAUUAACUUUUUUUGUUUUGUUUUAGUAUUAUAUGAUAUUAUCUUGUGAACAUACUAGUAGUUGUAUUCUCUUAUUAGCUUCUGGUGUGUUGUUGCCUGUAUAUUUCAUUUCUGAGUUAGACAUCUUGUAAAACUUGUUUAUAUUUGAAAAGGACAAGAUUGGUGGAGUGGAUUUCUAUAUAUCUUUAAACUAGAGCACAAAUCAGAAUAAGCAUAAAAAAGUUAACCUAUAUUAUCCUUGUCCAACUGUUUAAUCUAUACUUUGAUAAUAUAUACUCUUUAAAUGAGGCAAGAAAAGAAGAAAAACCUCCCAGCCAUGAAUAAAUUUAUCAUAUUAUUGAAAAUGUUGAUUGUGCCUUAUCUUUUUUUUCAUGGUGUCUUAGAACUAAAAUUUUAUAUUGUUCUAAUUUUUCACUUUACACUCUCAUCAUCCCUUGCAUCUUUAGGUGAAGCUAAAGAACAUGCUGUACCAUACUGCCCGCAUAAAUUGCCUGGCCUGGUCUCCUGAUAGCCACUUGAUUGCCACUGGCUCACUGGACACUAGUGUUAUAGUCUAUGAGGUAGAUAAGCCUGCGUCCAGCCGGAUCACAAUUAAGGGGGCUCACUUGGGAGGGGUGUAUGGAUUAGCUUUCAUUGACGAAAACAGUUUGGUUAGUGCAGGAGAAGAUGCAUGCGUCCGUGUUUGGAAAUUAUUACCACAGUGACAAGGGUUGACCCAUGGAAAUUUAUGCCACUGGUGGCAGAGUGAUCAAGUUUUCUUGUGUUGCAGUUUGCUCAACCAUUAUGCAAUUGGCUUGUGCGUGUGUGUAAUCACUUUCCACAACAGUUACCAUUUUGGUGAAGCCGUCGCAGUGCCUGGUUGCAUCGGAACAUAAUAUUGCAGAAGACCGAUGAAUUUGAUUUAUGGAGUCAAAGUGCAGAAGCCUUUGAGAGAUGCAACUUUUGGUGGCGGCUUUUUUUGGGUUCGUUUCUAUUGUUUCCCUCCAAGUGAAAGCAAAGUAAGAUUACAAGAUGGGGACUGGUGAACCCAUAUAGGUGCAGUUGAGGUGUUGAAUUCAUGUUUGGACCAGCCAUCGUCAUUUCAAGUUGUGAUGGACAUGUUUGCCUGCGAAAAACUGGUUUGGGUGUGCAAUUUCAUCGUCUUUUGCUUGGGUUUAUGACCUCGAGAUGCAAAUGCUAAGAGAAUCUUGCUUGUGAUGCUGCAUUUUUUUUCUUCUAAUUUUUUGGCAAAUGAUGAAUAAUCCCCACUCUGACAGGUUCACAUCGUCUUCUCCCUCGAAGGUGGUACUCCCCAAUGCAAACAAACCUCGGACAUGGAAAUAAUGAAUUACGAAUCUUAAAGCAACGUUGUCCUAACCCUGGUGACAGGUGGUGCGACUCGUGGUCCGAGCAGCUGACGGUCGCGUGCCGAGAAGGGACUCGUAGAAGGAUUUGGGGCAUUUUUGUUAAAUUAAAGUAAGGGUUUUAAGGUAAAAGAAAAAAGAAAAAAAAAAGAACGUCCUCUCUGUUUCACGUGCUCGACACGUGAUCAGACAUCUUCUUGAACCUCCGAGAACAACCGCCGAUCGUGGUCGUAGCGUCGACGCCCAACCGAGUGGUCGUUCUACUCCUCGUCUUCUCCAAGCGGCGUUCUCCAGCCUGGUGCUUGAGAUGGAUCAAGAAGCCGCUCUCGAUCUCGUGAAGAAAGGGGCGACACUUCUUCUCCUCGACGUUCCUCAGUUCACUCUCUUCGGCAUCGACACCCAGGUCUCCUCUUCCUGUUCCCUAUUCUCAUUUCUUUCUCCCAAUUCCUCCUUUACGUUUCUUUUUUUCACGAACCCUAGAAAGAUCUCUUUCUCUUUUCUUCCAAGAAGCUUCUCUCCUUUCGACGCCUGGAUGUGCAUAUUCGCAUAAACUUCAUGACGAGAAGAAAUAAGAUAGCCUUUAGGGUUUCUGGAGUCAUGGAAAGCACUGAUACCCGCGUCUUGCGAAUAAACUUUAGCCGUAAACUGCAUUGUAUAAUGAUUUAUGUUAACAAGAAAUCCGAGUAUUUUACCAUGUGGUCUGCUGCCCUUUUGUUGUCAUGUAAUCUCCACUUGUUGGGGGUUUAGCACACAUAUCUCAAAGGCAUGAAAGAAGUUUCUAUCUGCUUGUACGUUACGUGUGGGAUGAUUGGCCCAAUAAGAUCAAUUUUGUGUUAUUUAAAAUUAACAUUUAUACACAACGAGUGCAUCUAUUUUAUUUGUUUGCAUUUACUUGUAGCACUCAGAUUCCUACCUUUAUUCUAAGAAAAUCAAUAAUGAAAUCAAAUAAAAAUUUCUCACGGAUAUUUUUAGUCACUAAAUAAUAAUAGUAAUCAUUAAAAUUUAAGAAAAAAAUUAAAUCCAACCAUAAUAGGUUUUAGAUCAUUAAUUAAGAUUCUAAUGAGUCCAAACCAUUCUUUUUUAUACAAAAUAAACACUUUAUAAUUGUCUAUGUCAACCAAGAUCCUAAAUUUAAUUCAUCAUGAGUUUUACUAACCUUUUAAAUGCAAAAUACUUGUUCAUUGAUGUCUGUGUCAACAAUUGGAAAUUUUACUUUGGUGUCCUUGCAAAACUUGAAAUUUAACCAGGCCAUAGGUGACAAAGUUAUUUGUGAAGCAAUUUCAUAUACAGAUUUCAUGGCUAAUGUGGCAAUUUAUCAAAUUUGACGGAUGUCUAAUAUCAUAAACAUGCCAACAACAAUAAUUAGUACUAAUGCAACUAAAAUGUGACGUCAAAAUGCAUGACAAAUUUAGCCUCUGUGUGUGUGUGUGUAUAUAUAUAUACACACAUAUAUAUAUACAUAUGUAUGUAUGUAUAUAUGUAUAUGCAUAUAUAUGUAUAUAUAAGUGUAUAUAUAAUGGAGAAGAGAAUUUGGAGUUUUGUAUGAUCAUCAUAUGCUCUUAGAUUAGAAAAAAAAUAUAAAACAAUUGUUUGAUCAACAAUACUCAAUGUAUCUGAGUAUUGGGAAAUUUAUUAAAAAUAUGUACAAAAAAAUAUUAGUUGAGAUGAGUUGAAGUGAAUGUAUGAAGUUACUUGGAAAUAUAGAUAACAAAAAUCUUCAUUUCAUUCAUAAACAAUUAGGCAUAGCUAAAUAAAUGAUAACAUUAGGAAGAAUAAGAUUAUUAAGAAUAUGUUUUAAAAAGACAUAUAGAUGUUGUGAUUAAACAAGGUUAGAAGAGAUAGAAGGAUAUUUCAAAAGAAUUGUUAGAAAGUAGAAACUAUACAAAACAAUCUGAAUGCUAUUGGCCUAACUAAAGGUAUUGUCUUGUAUAGAAUUCUAUGGCAGAAAAAGAUUCAUUGCCCACAAAUAGUUGGAACAUUACAGCAUAUUGUUGUUGUGUCGACAUAACUAUCUUUAAGCUUUGAUGUAAUUUCUUCCAGAUGUUUUCUGUGGGGCCGAUGUUUAAGGGUAUGAAGAUGAUCCCACCGGGCACACACUUCAUUUACUAUAGUCCCUCAAGCAAGUAAGAUGUGAUCUUCUAACAUCAUCUUCUUUUAUGUAUGUAUGAUUAACUUGAUAUGGAAGUUCUUUGCAAUGUGCAACUAUAAUGAUAAUAAUAUGGAAUAACUUUUCUCACUGUAUGUUGAAUUUGAGUUUGUUAAUUUGGUUGAUAUACGACAUAGUUUCAACAAUCAGAAUAACCUACCUAAGAAAUAUUUACAAGAAUUUUGCAAUUAUAUGUUGUCUUGUUGCUUUAGCUGAUUCCAAAAUCCAAACAAAAGGACAACUAUACCUCAAUGUCUGGAAUCAGGGAGUUGCCUUAAUAUAUUUUCAUAUUUCAAAAUUUCAAAUAUUAUAACAGCUCAUUCUGAUGGCAAGUUAUAUUGCUAUUUUUUGAAGUUUUUAAUGCCUAAGGACUGAUGAGAUGGUCUUUUAAGGAUAAAUUAAAACAAAUAGUGGAUUCAAGUGAAUAAUACAUGUAGUAAUUCUGUAAAUCUUAAUGGGUGAGAGACUGAAAAAUUUUGGAUUGCAAUUGUUGCAAUAAUUACUGAGUGCCACAUGGUUAAACUUGCUAUAGGGUUCUAUUAUUGUUGAAACACUGGACAUUCAGUCUACUGGCUUGUAUUCAUAGUGUUAGAAAUACCAAGUUUCUCUAUGUAAGGUUUUUAGAUGUUUGGUGAUUAGUCGAAGUCUCUGAUUGUCUGAGAACAAAGAGAUGAAGCACUAACAGACCAAUUAAGAUCAUGGCAGUGCAGUGCUGUGGGAAACAGGGGAAAUUUUUAUUUAAAAUCAAAUUAAUUUUGAAUUGAAACAAUAGUAUCAUUGUGAGUGCAAUUAUACGUGACCAUUGACCUUAAAUCAUAUAAUACAAGCAUUAUAUCAAUAACAAAGGCUCUUCUUCCAUGUAUGCAUACAUGCAGGUUUCGGAAUCUAGAACAUUGAAAGCCCUUUCUUUGGCAUCUUAUUACUGCCUUCGGUUGAGGUGAGACAUAACAGCGCUGGUUGCCACUUGCCACUGCUCUUUUCUUGAGGAUAGUCUUUGUAAUAUUAGACAUCCAUUCUGAUCUUGCAGUUUGCCAAAUCACAUUUGGACAUUCUAUUUUUGGUGUAUUCCAGCAAUUAGAAUAAUAUGAGUUUUUUGGUCUUACAAGAUGUCAAACCUUAGGUUGUGUGUCUUGUCCUAGUCCUUAGGUAGUUCUUCACUUGAAAGGAGUACUAAAACAAAAAACUAUACAACUCGCGUGGAUGACAAAUCAUCAUGUUGGCAGUACCAUAAAACAGAAACAAUUUGAACGACAUUGCAACAAUGUAAAAAAUAUUUGCCUUCUGUUCCUCUCCAACCUACAACCUUUUCUUUGGUCUCCUCUUCUCCUGGUUCACACAUUUCCACAUCUGCCAUGACAAAACCAUGGAGGCAUAAGGCAGGCAGGGUUUCUAUAUGGAUUCGAUACUUCAAAGACUUAAAUAAUGUGUUUAAGAGGUUAAAUUGAUUUGACUAGGGUCAGACUGUUUUGGAUCCAAUUCGGUAUAGUGUCUGGAUCAGUCAUUCAUAGUUCUGUGAUUACGAAUUGAGAUUGCCCCUCACUGAGCUCUUGGUUGAACCUUCAUUAAGCUUGGUGUAACAUACUUGACUUUCUGUGAAAGCUUAUGUAAUGUUUAUUCCUAGAGAUUGUUAUUUCAUGAUACAGAAGCAUGUUGAUAUGUUGUUCCAACUGUGCUGUGCUGGUUCUUUCCACUGUGCCAGCCAAAAUAGGCAAAAGUUGGUCGACUUUUGUAUUCACACAAUUCGACAUUCCAGUUGGCAUGGAAAGAUUGUUUGUCAUUAUAGCUUAAUUCUUGUAUCUGUGUUGUUGUUGUAGUUUUGGCAACUGUAUAGGUUAAACCAUAGUAUUUUGAUUCAACUGAUACUUAAGCUAGGUGUCUUACUGUCUUUACUGUGAUUGAUUCAGAGAGGGGAAUGAAUUUUCACCGACAGUUGGCUUCUUCCUUACGACCCAUCCUGCCGAGGUAUUCAUCUAUGUAAUAUUUCUUUAUGUUUGAUUGGUAUCUGUUGAUAUGACUUUGCAAAAUCAUACAUAGAUAUCUUUGUGAACUAGUAGGUAUAAAUCUAGAAUUUGAGAUCUUUCACCAAGGGUGAUAUUUAGUGAAUUUUUUAUUGCCUUUUGGAGUUUUUUUCUCGAAUGUGCCACUUUUCUUACCAGAUCAAGAAUAUCAAAAUGUUUUUUUGGAUAAAAUAUUGUGUUCACAUUUUGAUACUUGUAGCACAUGACAGUCUCAUAACGUGAAAUUCAUUUUUCAAGGUUACCAUUUUGGAUCUCUCACUGCAUUCCUGCAGCAUGUAUCAGACACACAAGGACUCUGUUAACUUGUUACAUAUCUUGUUUGUGUGUAUGCAUGCUGUAAUUUAUAUGCAUACACAAGAAUAACAUUGUUGACUUUGAGAAACCAAAUUACAACCUUGGUUAUCAUUGUGGCAAGUAAUAUUUUUUAAAUGGAAAAAGCGAUAUAGAUAGCAUUUAAAUCAUGUGGUUCUAUCAAUUAUUGAAUUGUUUUAGAAGUAUAGCUUUUGUGCUUGAUAGGAUUUAUAAGUUCUUAUUAUGCUUCGGACAGGUAGUUGUGCGCAAGUGGCAUCAUCAGGAGGAACGGCUGAUUAAAGUUUCAGAAGAUGAGGUAGCCAUUUAUGAUCACAAGUCUUAUAUGAUAGUUACAAAAAUUUAGAUAUCACUUAAUUGAUUGGAGUUUUAUAACUAAUUAAAAGUAUUAUAUAGGUGAAUUUGCUUGUAUUAUCUAAAAUGUGGUGUACUUAAGACUGAAAUUUUAAAAUGUGUGUUUGUGAGGUAUGGUAAUUCUGUCUUUGCUUAUGUUGAACAUAUAUGCUGUUCUGACCAUUCUGAUGCUGCAGUAAUUUGAUAGUUCAGUGUGUUGUAACAGUUAGAUGUCUGAAGUUUGGAACAUGUCUUGCGUAAUAUCUGUUAGCAGGAAGCUGGUUUAUGUACUAGUAUUUUGUGUAGUCCCAACAAUUUGAACUUACUGAAGUUUGUUGCCAUGGAUUCAUUCAGAUCUUUUGCCAAGUUGAUUUGGAACAUAUCUGUGAUAAUCUGUUGUGGCAGGAAAUAUUUGUCAACAUAUUACUGUUUUGCAAAGACCAACAAUGUGAACUUACUGAAAUUUUGGAUUGAUAAGCAGCUUUUACCAAGUCAAACUCUUCAUUCUUAUGCAAUGGUAGAAUUAGUGUAUUUACAAUGAAAUUUGAUAGUUGUCACUUAUAAUUUGACUUCUAUUUAGGAAGGCAGGUACUCUGAAGCAGUGAGACGUCUGGAAUUCGAUCCCCACCUUGGGCCUUAUGCUUUAGACAGGCAUGGAGAGUGGAAGCAGCUUUCUAAUUACAUUACACAGAACAUUAUUGAGAGAAUUGGUAAGUUUUACAAACUGUAUAUUAGCUGUGGAUGCUGUUGUUUUAUUGGCUUUAAUUGUGGAUAAUUAGGUUGGAAUGAGUUUGUUUAUAAUUCUUUUAUUUAAAUCCUCAUGAAUCAUGUAUAGUUUUCCUAUUUUUGUUGGUAAUGUCUAAUAUGUUACAAGGUGACAUAUCAUUUGCAAUCUCUUUUACAAAAACUUUCUUUGUGCCAACCUUCAUUUCUUUGCACAGAAAAUAAACUACUAGGUUUCACAUCCAUAUCAAAAUUAAAUUUUGUGCAAAGAAGAAUUUUUAUAUUAAUGGAAGCCAUGUACCAUUGCGUUUAAAAUUUUUGCACCAUGAAAGACUAUGUUCUAUGGAAUUUAGGCAGAUGUUGGAGAUAUCAAAUAUGCUUAUAGUUUUUUGACAUGCUAGAUGUUUUUAGUUUAUUGGUCUUAUAACUCAUCUUGAGUUUUAUUCUUGAAGUAUAGAUUUCCUGUACAAGUCUGGGUAGCUCAUGGAUGUGAUCUUCUUUGAUGCAUCUAUCUACUGCUUGUGAUACUUAGGGUGAAAACUAUUAUUUAGUCUAUUUACCAAUCCUGAACUUCCAAUAAGUGGCACUCUAUUCUAUUUUCUGUGAAAGGCACGUUACCUUCUUUGGUCUUUGUAUGGUGCAUUUGCGUUGGUAGGAUUUUCUUUCACUUGUCAUUGUCCUAGUUGGUUGUAACUCAUCGGUCAAUUUUAUCUCUGACCUCUACCUUGAUUGUAGCUAAAGAUUUUUAAUUAUUUGAUGUUAUUGUGCCAUAUGGUCUUUUAAGAAGCAUUCAGGGAUCUUUAUCCCAUUCUCUACUCUUUAUACUUCUUCAGUGGAAUUGCUGUAAUUGGACAAACUGGAAGAGAGUUGAUAAUUACCUUCAUGAUUUAUGUAUUGUUAUCAAACAAAAGAGGCUUGCUGGUGAUAACAUUAUUUGAAUGUUCAAUUUUCACACAAAAGGAAAGAUAUCCUUUCAGAAAGUUGUUUCUGAGUUGCUGUGCAUUCAAGUUCUUACAUUUUGUUAUUCCCUUUGCAUUCUGUUGUAUUCUAUCUCUCUUCUUUGUUUUGUUAUUUUUUAUUAGGCUUUUGGUUAUUCCCUGAAUUAUUUGUGCCUUUUGUCACUGCAAGAUUGCUUCAAUGUUUUUCUUGGAUAACCUUGAUAUCCAGAUAUUUUACAUAUUGAAUGGAUGAAUUAACAGAGCCCAUUGGUGGAGAUAUUAUGAUAGCCUACGAGUCUGGAUUGAUCGACAGGGUUCCUAUUUCUGUUAUGGAGAGACGUCUGAUGGAACAGCUAAAGGACAGUAAGUUUUCAAACUCUGAAGCAGAGGGAUCUCACAGGCGUGGAUGCUAUUACACAUCAAUUCCCCAUGCUGUUAAGCAUAAGGGCAUUUCUGGAGAGGAACUUACAGCAAUUAACCUUGACAAAGUAAUUAUCUUUGCAUUUACCCCAUUUGGUAAAGUAGAAGGAUUAAUAUAUUGCAUACUGGGCCUUAUAGAUCUUUAUAUCUACCUGAAUAAGCGAAAAACAAAUGUCAUAAUUGGAUUGUUUGGCAAGAAUUUGGUGAAAAGAGAAAAUGUAAUUUUGCUUAGGGUUGCUGAACUCAGUGUGUAAUGUCAAGAUUCUUGUGUUUGUGUUUUUUUGGUAAAUGGAUUUUCUUUAUUCAGUUCAAAAUGAUACUUCUAUGCAAGGUUUUCUUUGGAACUUCCAAUAUUUUAAUCCAUGAUUGUCCUAGGAAUGUGAGCUUGUCCGUUUGUGUUCAAACCAAAAUAGAUACCUUGAUACUGUAGAUCAUUGGAUCCUUGCCAUUUUGUAUCUUCAACAAAAAUAACGGGUCAAAGUUAAAUUACCGGCAUAAAGCUAAAACAUUUUCUCUGUUGAAUCGGUUUAAAAAGAAAGUUUAAAUUGAAAUGUCUGAUAGAAAGUGGGACAUUGGUUAACAUUCAAUAACUUUCGUGAUAAAGCUUUCCAACAUGAACUUAUUGAUUUAAACUUUGUAUCAGCACAAAAUUAGGAAAUUGAGAGUGUAUAGAUGGGUUGCAUUUUAGUUGUUUUGGUAUCAAAAUAGUGCUAAUAUUUAGGAGUGUUGCACAAUAUGAUGAUAUCUAUUUAGUGUGUAAACACCAUGAUUCUAAUUUUGCUCAAACUUAUAUUUUAUUACACCAAUGGUUCAGAAACAAUGGCAUUUGUGUAUGACACUUCAAUGUGAUACAAUAUUUGCCUGUUAAGAAGCCAUACAGCAGUUUAUGUUUAUAAUUUAAUCUAUCUUCUGGUGGCUUAUUUGCUACUUUAAUUUCUUUGAUUUUGUGGACUUAAAUCCUUCCUACAACCCAUGGAGUUGUUCCUUAGAUAUUAAAGUUUAUUUGAAUGUUAUCUAGCUGGGUUAAAGGCUUACUAAUGACAUUUUUAAUUUAGAUUGUGUACUAAAGGGUCACAUUACUAAAGAGUUUUUAUGCAUUGACUAAUGAGAUACAUUUUCCUUCAGACAAAAUUACUGGAAGCAAUCUUGAUGAAAGACUAUGGAGGCGAAGAAGAUUCACUUUUGGGGGAACUACAAUUUGCUUUUGUUGCAUUUAUGGUAUGUGUCUGGUGGCAUGUGUUUCCUGGUAAAUUUAUAGCCCUUGUAUUUUCAUUAAUUGUGGAUCUUGCAGAUGGGGCAAUCACUUGAAGCCUUUCUACAGUGGAAAUCAUUAAUUAGCCUUCUUUUAAGCUGUACAGAAGCUGUGAGUUCUGCAAUAUUCGUGUAUUAGUUAAACAGACACAAACAGCUCUUGCUUGCUUAAAUGAUUCUUUUGUUACUUUUCAUAAAAGAAAGGAGCUUAAAUAAUUUUGCUUUGCUUUUAUGAUUUUAUGAUUCUGUUUAGAUCUUUGUUUGACUGCCUAUCCUUUUUCCUGUCUUUAAAUGACUCACCUGUUUUGAUCUUUGUUCAAAAAAAUGACUGGUACUGUGCUGGUCCUCUACCAGUGUACUGAGUGCCAGUGUGCCAUUAUGUAUUGAGUUUCAAAAAAAGCUUAAAAAUAUUUAAAAAAAAAAACAGAUCGUGUACCUUCUUGUACCGGGAGGCACUGACCCUAUACUGGGUAGUUAUGGCAUGUACCACCUCUGUUUGGCGGUAUUACAAACCUUGGAUGAGAUAACAGAUGUUUUUUUUUUUUUGCAGUAACAAUUUUGUUUGUCUUGCAUGUGAUGUAAUUGUGUUGCUUGAGUGGAAUUAUGCUUAAACGGUGAUAUGACUUUGAUAUUCUUGUCUCUUUCUUGCAGCCACUUCGGACAAGGACUCAGCUAUUCUCCAAGGUAAUUUCAACAGACAUUGGUCAAUUAACUGUAUUUAAAAUAUCUACUCCUGAAUGACAAUCUAAGAACACUAUUUUGAAACAAAAGAUGAAAUAGUAAGUUAUUUCCUUCAUAUUGCAUAACAGUAUUCACAGGUAUCUUCGGUUGGAGAAUUUGGAUUAAGUCUAUGGUCUAUGAUUGUAGUACUAUUUUGGCUGCAGUCCUAAAUAUCUAAUUACUAGGACUAAAGGUCUACAUGAGUCUUGAGCAGCAGUUGGACAGCUAUAAAAAGUUUAUAUUGUUCAAUUUACUAGUAAAGAUAGGAAAAAAAAUAUUUUCAUUCAUUUCGAUAAAAAUAAAAUAAGAGAACUUCGUUUAAAAUGAUAUAAGAAGACUUAUAGAUGCGGUAGUAAGAAGAAAUGAAAUGAUUACGAUUAGUGGUAUGAGAAGUAUAUGAAAAUCUAAAAAUAUUUUAAUAGAAACUGUUAAUAAAAUUUAAAAUACUCUUAACUAAGGAUAUGACUCCUUACCUAUCGAAAGAUAAAUGUGUUAUUGUAAGGUCUACAUGCAACUGACAUUGAAAUAUCUCUUUAAAAGGUACAUAAAUGUGCUUUUUAAUAUAUUUGAAGGUUUUAUUGAUUAUUAAAAAAUUAUAAAUUGGAACUUCUUCUGUCACAUGAGAAUGAUAUUUUGCCCAUGCUUCCUGGUGCUUGUCCUGUGUCGUGUAUAUUGAGUUGUCAGCAUGUCUUUCUUGUCUGAUGGUAGAAUAAAAAAGGAACAUCUGGAGAGCCUUACUAUGAAAUCAUAUAUAUCCUCAUUAUGGAUGAGGAUAUAUAUGUAACAUAGCCAAAGGAGUAUCAACUAGGAUUUGUGUUGACUCUAGUUCAUCAUAUAGUUGCAAAAACUCUUAUUCAAGCUUUAGCUUUGGUAACAGUAUACUUUUCUGUGAUAUGGACACGAGUUUCUUUUCAAUAAUGUGUUGCUUGUAAUUACUAGCAGCGAAGAAUUUUCCUUUUUUUCCUCAUAUAUCUGAUUGCAAUAGCACCGCAUGCAGUUUAUCAGAGUCCUCUACUCCCAACUCAAGCAUGGCUUUCAUAAAAAACAAAAUCAUGGGAAUGAUUCAGGCAAAGGAAUAUCCCUUUUCUUGGAUGAUGUGUGGUUCUCAAAGGACAUCUUUUUGUUCCGUUUGUGCAAGGUAAUCUCUAUCAUUUGGUUAACUAUGUAUGGGCAUUAUUAGUGUAAUACCCUUAGCUUUCACGCCCCUAUUAACGUGUGGUCUAGAUCACUGUUUUGCCAAUAAAUCAAGAACUACUUGGCGUGUGAUAAGCAAAUGUGAGCCUUAGAAUGAGAUUAAUGAUCGAUCAAGAUUCUUGUCAAAGUGUGUUGUUUUUGUAUUUUAGCAUUAGUCAUCUUGCUUUUUUUUUUUUUCUAGUUGAACUUUUUCCAGAUGGAAUUUCAUAAAAAGGUUUGUCUAAAUUGGUUUAGUUCUUUUAGUGAGCGAUUUUUAAGUAUUAAUGGUCAGUGUCAUAGUUAUUGAUCAUGUUUGAAUUUUUCAGGAUUUCUUCCCAUUGGUGCUGGAGUCCCCAGUUGUUGAUGGUGACCUGCUGUUAUGGGUUUGAAUGUUAAAACCUUUUUAAAAUUUUCAUUCAGCAUCCUGUAAUCUUUAUUCUUGAAAAUUACUGCUUUUCUAAUUCUUAUAUAUAGAUUGUGUAUCACUUGGUAUAUUAGGGCAAACCAAAGUUCAGUGCUUUUUGUGAAUGACAGUGUAUGGUAUUUGUUUUCUAUGUGCAUUUUAUGAAUGACAGUGGGCAUGGAUUAUGAGAUUUUUUUUGGGUCUUCUUCUUUUCCUUUUAUCUAAAGACCUUCAUUAACAUGUUAACUGGUAAUGCUAUUUGCAGAUGAGAAAACUAAAGAGACUGCUGGAGAUUGCACUUGGGUGGGAUUUUGCAGAUGUGAUGGAAGUUAUCUGCAACGAAGGGGAUGAGGUUGAUAUUGUUAAUUACUAACUAAACAUGAUUUAGCUUUCUCUUCAAAGCUCUGGAAGUUGAUCUGUCUGUGCUGUCAUUUGCAGUUCUCUCCAGUAAUUGUACCUUCUGAAGAAGUGAAUUAACCUCCAAGCUGCCCAGUAAAAUUAAAUGGUGGAUCCAGUUGUGGUGGUGUUAACUUACGGAUUUCUUCUCCAUGAUUUGUUUUGGACAUGUUAUAUUAGCAUGGUGUUUGACUUAAGUCGGGAAAAGUUGGGCGCUUGCAAAGGUUGUUGUCCCAUAUGGCAGCCAUCUCAUAAUUCUGGCUUACCGCCACCAGUAUCGUUAACUGCCAACUUCUGAAAAAGAUUGUUGUCCCAUAUGAAUUCCAUAUUCUCAAAAAUUUUGUUCAGUGAGGCAAACAUUGUUUUGUCCAUUUCGGAUUUAGCAUCCACCAUGGUUUCCCUGGUGUUCUACAAUGUGGUUUCACGGCAAUCGCAUUUAACUUAGGUAAACAGGUCUUUGUGAUGUAACAAACUUUCAGAUCAAGAAGGUCGAUGAAGAUCGUUUGUAUUUCUUUUCAGAUAAGAAAAGUCAUGCUUCCAAAUCACAAUGAACUGCCGGUCUUUUUUUCGUGUGAUUGAAUCAAGAAGUUAGUGUAAAAAAUUCUGGAUGGUAUAAGUUAUUGAGUUUGCGGUGUUGAUGUUUUGCUAGGGAAGAGGGAAGUCUGCUUGGUUCAUCAUUAAUCUUUUUUUUUCUUAAUGCGAACAACAAACUAAUGGAAAUGUGACAGCCGCGUUCUUCCGUUCCAAUGCCAACCGACUCUUGAGAGAUGGGAAGGCACCUCGGACUCGGAAACUCUAUUCCUAUGACCUCUAAGCGGCUCCAUACGUUGGGUCAGCAGUCAUUCUCUGUUGAGCUUUGGUGAGAUAUAUAUAUAUAUAUAUAUAUAUAUAUUCUUAAAAAAAUUGCCUAUAUAUUCUGAAAAUAAUGUGCACCGCCAUUCUUAAAGCCAUCCGCGUGGCAGGGCACGAGAGCCAAUAUGUAUCGGACCUCCCCCUUCAGAAACUGUGAUGGCGCGGCUGUUGGCUCGUCUACGUUUCGUUCGAUUUCCAUUGUCGCAUAGGUUACCGCUGCUUCCGGUUCUUUUUUGCCCUGCUUACGGUCGUCUAGUCGUCUUUCCUUAACUCGCUUUCUUUGGGUCUCGAUUCCAGGCCUGAAUUUUCGCCCGGUCUAGCAAGCGUGCACCGUGGCGGAAGAACCAGUGCAGGACAUCUUAAUCCUAUCCUACAAGGUCCGUUCUCUCCUCUUGUUGUCAUGAAGCAUUUAUGAUCGGAGUUUUACGUGCGAUGAUCGAUGCUUCCUAUUCCAAGAAACUACCUUUUGAUUGGCUUAAACCUAAAAUAGUUGGAAGUCUUUUUGGCAUCAUUCGUUUCUACCCAUGACAACUUUGUGUUCGAUGAUAUGCCUCUGUGUCCUCCACACAGAGUGACGACAGCAAAGGUAUGGAAUAUAAAUCCUUCGAGAGAAAAAAAGGAUCGUCAAACUUCAUGAGAUAUCGAUGAUUGGUUUAGCCUCAUCUCAGACUGCAAUCUUAUAAAAGUUGAAUGAACUGAACAACAGUAGUAGUGGUUUGGAAUUAGAAACUGGGGGAUUCCAAUAUGUUUUCUUGGUUUAGCUAUCCAGGCAGUCAUGAUCAAGAAGAGUUUACCGACUUCUUUUUAGUUUUCUACUGCUUGUUUAUGUGAAAUUAGUUCUCUUGAAAGUGGUAACUGCUUCAAGCUCAAUGUUAUUUUAGAGGAAAUUUCACUCGUUGAGAACGUAUCACACUGUGAGAUGUCAUUCCUUCUAUGUGUUAUUUUGUGUUUUUAUUAAGCCUUAUUCUUAUUGGUUCUCCAGUAUCACGAUCCUACGCUCGUGAGCGAACACAUUAUAACUUGUUCGGUAAUAGAAGGCCUGGCGAUGAAGAAUUCAGAAAAGCUUGGGCAGAAGAGAUGGAUGAGGAUGACUGUUUAUGGACUGCGAGCGAGGAUGAUGAAGAAGAUAAUGAGAAGGACAGCAGAAAUUUGGAAAGGGCAAUUAAGAAGAUAAGGAAGCAGGCAAAGGAGAACUCGGACCUCAUCGAUGGUGAUGAGAGCGAUGAGCUGAGAAGUUUGUGUUCGGAAAGUGAUGAAGAGGUUGCCCUGUGGAGUGGCAGUGAGGAUGACGACGAUGAUGAUAUUCCUACUGAGUCACACUCGAAUGAACGUAGUGAUAAACACAUAGACAAAUUGUUUGAGUUUGAGGAGACACCCAAGUACAGGACCAUUUCAGAGCUGUUGAAAGCCGAAAAGGACCCCCCAGAGUUGUCCCCAGGAAAGCAAGCGAGAAAGCUUGCUGUGGAAAAUGCACUGAAGAAGUUAAAGAAAGGGCCAGACGGGCGGUACAUAAAUGUCUGGGAGGUGAUGAGUGACAUCGAUAUCCUGAUUGGAGCUUUCGAAAACAUCGUUUCAGGGCCAGAGUAUGCAGAGCUUCGAGAAGGCGGGCCUAAGAAGCUAAAUAUGCAAUUCUUCAAGGAUAUACAAGCGCGCAUGAGAGAUCCAAAUUUCAAAUUUUCGCCUGAGUUGAAACUAAAGCCAAAAAGCAAAUUUGUCCCUCGAAAGAAGUGGCAAAAAGCUCAAUCGAGGAGGAGGAAAAACGAAAGACGUUAACAGGAGGUAAUUCUCUAUUUAUUUUGAUCAAGGAGUGGAGGGAACUUUCAGGCAUGAUUUCUGCUCAUGAGAGGAAAGAACACUAUAUGCAUGAAUUGAGAAGGCUAACACUUUUACAAGUCUUUCUCCUUUCUUUGGCAACAUGUCAGUGUAGAAUGCCAUGUAAAAUUUCAAUGGACAAACAUAUGUGCAUUAAUGGUUGAUCGAAUGAUCUCCUGUUACUUUAUUUCUAUUAAUAUUUCAUGCAUUAAUUAGUAUAAAAUAUGGAACUAGGAUCAUCAAAAGACAAAAAAAUAUCAAUGUCUUUGUCUUCGAAGUCUCUCUACGGCGAUUGUUCGAAAUGUGGUCCAUGGUGGUGUCAUGACAAUUUUGUAGUGUCUCUGUGACCAUGUGUUGCGGAAAGGGUAGAUCGGAUUUGAUCUUCAAAUUCACAUUACAUAAGCACUUAUUGCAAUCGAUGACUUAAUUGUGUGUUCGAAUUCCAACCGCAAGAGAAUAGAAAUUGCCGUGAGAUGGAAAUGAAUCGGAAGGAAAACCAUCACCAAGCCCAUUUACCGCCGGAUCAUCCAAGAAGAACAAGCAUCCCGUUGACGCAGCUUGACACUACGAAGAAAAUGCGUAAAGGAACUACUCAAUUCUUCCAAGAAGAUACCAAAGCCAAGGAUGAACUUACGAGAAUCAAAUCGAGCCGAGCAGAGGAGAAAUCGCAGAGAAUAAUAAUACUCACCAAUAACCCAAGGAUGAUCGUGUAAGAAUCGGAUCGAGCAAAGGCGCGGGGAUCGCAGACGAUACUCGCCAGAACCAUCUCUAUUCGCUCAUUUCCAUUUUCGAAGACGAUAAGCUAUGCGUCGUGCCAUUUAAAUCCGUCACGACCUUCCUGAUAAUAGUGUGACCAUCGAAUGUGAGGUUACCGCAUACACAACAGUUGAUACAAAUGCUCAAAAAAUAUUUUUUGACGUCUAAAUCCUUCGAAUUUCGACUUCUUAGUCUCACCUCCGGUGAAAAGAAUUAAAACCGCCAUGGGCCUUAUUUAUUACACAUAAUCACUUACUUUAAUCAUAAAUAUUUAUAUUUAUGAUUAAUGUGUUAUUAUUAUAUAUAUAUAUAUAUAUAUAUCAUGAUUAUGACAUUAUAAUUAAACUGUGGUAUUAUCUUUGUUUUAGUACUAAUGAACUUAAUGACACUUAAAGAAAUAAUCUGAUUACAAUAAACAAAAAGUAAAAAAAGAAAGGUAUAACAACACAAAAAGCAUAUUUCAGUAUACAUAUAAUAGAUUCUCUCAGUUUAAUUCCGAGCUGAUUCCUAAUUUUAUGGAAUAAGAGACUUAAAAUCAUUUUUUUGCUUGACUUAUUCACAUGUUCCUUCGGUACACAAUUUAACUUUGGAAUCCUUUUUGAGUUCGCACACUCGAGAUCAACAAUGACUUCAUCUAAUGGCUGACAUCUUAUUAUUGCUUACAGUAAUCGUAGAAUUUGCACACUAGAAAUUGUGUUUUGAAGAGCCUCUCGGAAUCACAACUUUCCAGAGUGCUUUCUUUCUCCGAGGGUGGCUCAUCUCAAGUCCACACUGCCACAUCCAUGCAAUUGUUUUGACUAAUUACACAAAAUGCAAUACAAGGCAAAGGAUUCCAGAGUCACACACCAUACCAUACACGUAUACAACUCAUGAGACUACAUGUAUUAAAAGAAAGAAGUUAUAUUAUUGGGUUUUGAUGACAUGCUGGCCUCUAAAAUGCAUUGUAUCGCCGUAGCUAGUUGAAUAAUAUACAGGAAAAUUUUAAAGCCAGACCAGCAUCAAAACAAUGAACCACCCACCACCUCCGUAUCAAAAUCCAUCCUACCAAUGCUAGUUCCCUGCGUGGGGAAAUGGCUGAAUGGCACGCCACUGAGGUUCUAGGAACUAAUCGUGGCAUUCUCGUGGCUUUUGCAUGACCUUGAAUCAGACUUCCAUUUGUCUAAAAGAUCCUUCAUCACCUGAGCAAACUUCUCAGCUUGUGGACCAGGUCUCAUGAUGUUGGCAUUGCUCCAAUGGGAACAUGGAUCUGUCCACCAUCUCUUGCGCCCGGAGCACCAAGCCCCAGGAACAGCCUGAUGGUGCCGACGUCCGAGUACCUUGUCAUCGAUUUUGUUGAGCACUGGGUCAUCCUGAUGGAACUGCCUUGCAAAAGGCAUUCCACUUUCCAUCAUCCUGUCAAAAUCUGUCAUGUUCAGGAAAUGAGGCUCCAUCUUUGGAGGAUUAUCCCACACCAUGUACCUCAGGUUGCUGUUUAUGGUUGUGUUCUGGAAAUCAGGGGAAUUGCACAUGACUGAAUGGAAAUAGCCUUCCUGGGACAGUAUUACAUUCGUGAAGUACAAAAGUAAUGUUCGGGGAAGAUUGUCCCAACCUAAAACACUGUACUCUAUGAAAGAUCUGCUCAGAAUAACCCAUGGCGAACCUGCACGUGGCUAAAUAAGAAUGGGCUUUAUCAUCUAAAACACAAACAAAAGAUUCUUUACCUGUGAAGAAUUUGAAGGACUCAGGAGUGUCCCGCUUCUGUGAAGCUUGGAAGAAUUGUUUCCUAUUUGCCAAAUAGAUGCCUGCAUCGACUAUAAUAGGCUGCACCCUUUGAUAUCUGCAAGGACACAAUAGGAGAACUUCAGAGGAGCUGAAGAAACAAAUCUCACAAAUCAUGAAACUUAAAUGGCAUGUACCCACUCUUUCCAUCCAAGGUCACUGGUAUGAUCCACAAAGUUAAAGUCCCUAGGCACAGACGAGAAAACAUGAAUCAUAUCUGAAACAAAGACAAGACAAAUAUUUAAUAAGUUAAAAGUCCCUCUGGGGAGAGUUAAAAACAUUGUAGAGCUUUUUAUACUCUCUACAACACCAAAAUAUUUCACAUCUUUCAAAAUACAAUUCAAAAGAAAAGAAUACUCGGAAACAAUUAACAACUAAGGGAUUCAAGUCGAGAAAACAAGAUGAGGAUGAUCAACCAUAUAAACAAACAAAAUAUGAGCAAAAUUCCCUAUUGAUUUUUAGUACGAAAAAUAUGAAUAAGAUGAGCAUGAACCCCUGCAUGAUUUUUGGCCUUUUACAACUUAUCAAGUCUUCAACAUGUUUAGUUUAUUAAAAUACCAUGAGACAAUAAAACAACCCAUUAAUUUAUCUCUGUGCAUAUUUGUACAUCUGUUAAAGCAAAAUAAUAGGUUCUUUCUUUGGCAAAGGAAAUCCUCUGUUCCUAGAUCAGAAACUACUUCAUUUUCCAACAAAGCUUCAGUGAAGGCAGGCACUAAAAGAGAGCAUGAUUACUUAUGUCAGAGCACCAUGAUGUUUGCUCCCAAUCUGAUCUAAACCAUUUAAUAAUUACGGUAUAUCCAAAUCCACAUGAGACAAAUGUUUAGAUUGGUUUACAAAGUGCAGCCACAGGUUAUCUUCACAAAAAAAAAAAGCGUGCUUCCAUGUCUUCAAAUUGAUGUUCCGGUGGCAUAUCAAAGUGAGAGAAACAAGAGUUCCAGUGUUUCAGAUAGGACUUACAGGCAAUACUUCUCCAGUUAAAAGUUAAAAGAAGCAUAUAUUUCAUGCUAAUUUCAGGUAGACAUAGCAAAUCUGGAACGGUCACAAUCGGCCUUUGUUAUCACUCUAGUGCAAGAACCAACAAGAACAAAUCGAAACAACAAAACAAUAAUUUUUAACAUAUUUAAGGGUAAAAAAAAAAUCCCAACCCUCCCAAUCUACAUUUGGUUUAAUGAGGAAAAGAUUCUUAAUUUAUUAUUGCUUAAAAUUCAGAAAAUUUCCUUUUUCCCAUUUUCUUUACCCCAAGACGGAACACUAAUUACCACUAAGAUCCAAAAGAAAAAUCUUAAUGAAACAGGAUCACAUACCGUCUUGCGUGACCAGCGGAUAAUCCGCUGCAUUCAAGGUCACAAACCAAUCCCAGCUACCAUCGAGGCGGAGGAGCACCGACGCAGCAUGCAACCUCGCAGCCAGCUCGGACGACCCCAUCGGGGUCAUGGGGCUGGCCUUGCCCACCACGUCCACGUUCUCGAACGCUCUUACGGCGGGCAUCGAGAGCCGGACGCGGAUCGCCAGAUCCGCGCGCUCCGAGUUAGGGGCAUCGGCAGAAAUGUGGAGAAGGUAGCGGUUCCUGGGGUGGUACACGGCGAGGAGGAGGCGGAUCAUCCGAGAGGCGUCGCCGCGACCGCCGGAAAUGUAGUACGCGAAGGCCGGCGGGUGGGCUGCGCCGCGGUGAACAUCGGCGGCGUCCGGCUGGCCAGCGAAGAAGGCUGAGGAGGCGAUGAAGCCGGAGAUGGCGGAGAGGACGAGGAGGACUGCAACGAACGAGACGGAGACGAGGGGGAAGAGCCAUCUCCCGCCCGCCAUGACCCGAGGCGCAUGGAGUUUAGGGCUACGGUUAGGCUCGACGCCGGGGAUCAAGGGGGCACCGCACCUAAGCUAGUAUCACGGCUUUGCUCGAUCUCAGAACCACGGGAUUAGGGUCUGCGGUGGACGACUCGAUCUCGAGGCGGACGGACGGAGAGAAGAAAGGAAGACAGGAAAGGAAAGAGAGCUCCGACGACCCAACGAUUAAAGAGGCAACGGGGGAAACCGAUUCCCGAAGCGGUUCCUUAUGUGCUGCUUGCGACCAUGGAAUGCUAUUUAAAUGCUCUUCUUUCAGAGCUCCGUAUGCUUAGUGAAUGGGCUUAUUGCAUUGCCUAUUUAAAGUAUGGCAUCAAUUAUUUUGGAAUAUUUUAGUUGUCGUCAUAAUUUUUUACUCUUUAGAAAUAAAAAUAAUAAUAAUUAUUACAGUUUACUAAAUGAAAAAAAUUAAUUGAAUAGAUGAUAAGGUUAAUGGCAAGUUGUGAUUUGUUUGUGAAUUCGUGCUUCACCAAAUUAGAUUAGGAUAGCAAGUUAAUGCUGGUUAUGGAUUAUUAUCUUGCACGUGCAAUUCACGCGAGUUGGUGGGUCGGCACACCAACCGUGGAAAUAUCUUACUGCACGGACUAUAAGGACGUUAAUGUCAUUUGAGCAGUCAACUCACUGUCAAUCAAAGUCGCGAAAGUAAAAUAUAGAGGUAUAAAUAAAUAUGAAUAUUACAAACAUUGUGGGCCCGGCCCAGAAACAAAAGUUGGACUGACCUUGCGACGGCCCAAAGCUGUCGCCUGCGAUUAGCUAUCCUUCGGCGUUUGUGUGGACCAGCAGCUCGAUGCCUGUCCUCUCCCUCGAUUCCGAACGCACAGGGGAAGUGAGAGCAGAGGGUAAGGAAAAGAAGAGAUGGUGGUAGGAUUCGACGGCAGGGGGCUGGGCCGCAUACUCGCGGCGCUGGCGGCGGCGUUCUUCUUCCGGGCUAUAUCCGGUGCCGGACCCGCCCUCCCGCCGUCAGGGGAGGAGGAGGAUGACGAGGGGCAGCAGCCGGCCGGCGACGAGGAGGCUCCGGUCUCCGCCGAGGUCCUUCCGGUCACCAUCCGGUGGAGCGGCAUCACCUGCACUCUCUCCGAUAAGCGUGGCAGACGGGUAAGCAUAUAUGGACCGUGGAAACCUUCCCCGGACCCUUAUCUUGUCACACGUGUGCGUAUGCUAGCAGCCGCUUCUCUCCCUGCUAUAUGCUUCUGGAGAGGCGCUUGACGACCCCCACUUGUUUGCGUCUGUCCCUUUGUUAGGUGAACUCAGCAUUUAAAGCUUUGGAUUUAAUUCCUUAGGUUCUGAAAUGAUCGAAUAUAGUUGCAUCAGUGUUUGCUGGGCAAUCAAUUUGAAAAGCAUUUGGAAAGAAUCGAAUUGUUUGCUAAAUGUAUAUUGGUUCGAAUCAUGUACAUUUUUUUUCUGUGUUUUCAUCUUCUUUUUGUUACUAGACAAGGUUUCUGCUAUCAAAUGUGUGUGGGGAGGCGAAACCCGGAAGAUUGCUUGCAAUCAUGGGCCCGUCAGGUUCGGGGAAGACCACUUUGCUUAAUGUACUGGCAGGGCAGCUCAUGGCUUCUUCCCGGUUGCACUUAUCGGGACACUUGGAUAUUAACGGAUUACCAAUGCCAAGCGAAGGUUAUAAGUAAGUCGGUUCGGACAUUGUUUGAUCUAGGUUUUUCAAGGAUUGUUAGCGUGCCACCGCCACCGUACUGCAUUGCCACUCUGGAGAGUGAAUUGGUCAUGUUUUUUCACCAGUUAGGAUCUUUAUAUUGCAGGGUUGCCUAUUUGAGGCAGGAGGACCUUUUCUUCUCACAACUUACAGUACGAGAAACGCUGUUACUGGCUGCUGAACUUCAGCUUCCUCAGACAUGGUUAGCAGAGAAGAAGGAUAAGUAUGUCAGCAGCAUCUUGUUCCGAUUGGGCUUGGUAAGCAUCUGAAGAUGACUAUACUAAAAUGGAAGUAUGAUACCAAUAAGAGUUUUGAUAGCAGUAUUUUCAGUAAACUCCACAUCAAAUGAAGCUAGAAAUCGAGACAAUCUUUUCUCUGGUGAACUCUUCCCUGAAGAAUAAUCUAAAAAGUUCCCCAGUUUUGUUGUCUAUGCUACGUCUGCAAAUGCACAUAGCAACACCUAUACAUAAGAUUUAUUUUCCCUUUCAUUUAAAAGUUCAUCUAGUCUAACUAGUUAGUCCAACUUAUGUUUUGAAUUAUUUUUCAUCCAAAAGCUAACAGUAAUUAUCACAUGUAACAUGCAUAGGAUAGAUAUUUCUACCGACAAUUGGUACCUAACUUUCUCUCUCUCUCUCUCUCUCUCUCUCUCUCUCUCUCCAUUUUAUGACUGCAAUUUAUAAAUUAUACUUAUUUGCUUUCUCCCUGUUGGUGAUAUAACAUUUUGCUAAAAAAGGUCAAUUGUGCUGAUUCUAUCGUUGGUGAUGCCAAAGUCCGUGGAAUCAGUGGUGGUGAAAAGAAGCGCCUUGCACUUGCUUGCGAACUGAUUGCUAGUCCAUCUGUCAUAUUUGCAGAUGAACCAACAACUGGUAUCAUUGUCAUAUCAUCAUAUGUUAUUUCUAUUUCCAAUUUAAUCGGAAUUGUUCUUUUCCUGAAUGUUCACUACAUGUGAUAUAAUAGUCAGCUGUCAGCCACAUACACAUAUACCACUGCAAACAUUUGAUUUUGUGGUUGAUUAAGAAAAACUCUUUUGAUUAGAAAGUAGACAAUGAAACUAACAACUACUUUAAAGAGUAUACUACAUAUUUUACUGCAUUCGUACCUUCUAAUUCAGACAAAUUCAUUGAUAUAGUUUUCAGGAGGACAGAUACUGCAUCUUAACUGGACUUGGGAGAAGGGAAGAUGCACUUAACUGUUGAAGGAACAAUUUGUUUAAAAAGAAAUAAUCAUAUUAACUGGCCGCAUGCAUUUUUCUGAAUAGUUCACUAUACUGUGUAACAUAAUAGCCGGUCAUAUACAUUUACUACUUUGGAUAGUAGAUCAAGAAAGAAGUACUUUUUGAGUAGGCGGUAGACCACGAAGUGACCACUCUGCUUUAAGAAGUGUAUAAUUUUUAAUUAUUCCUCACCUAUAAUUUUAAGCAAAUUUAAUUAACAAAUACAGAUUCUGUCCUUAAUUGGAUUGGGGAAAGGUGAGCACUAUUAGAUUGUCGGAGAGAAAUUUUGUUUAAAAAGAAAAGAAACAGAUUUUUUAAAGAUGAAUGAUAGAGAUUAUUGUUUUACUAUGACUUGAUUCUUAUACAUGUUGAUAGUGAGUGGUCUGUGUUACAUGCAGGUCUUGAUGCAUUCCAGGCAGAGAAGGUUAUGGAAACACUUCGACAGCUUGCAGAGGAUGGCCAUACUGUUAUUUGCUCAAUACACCAACCAAGAGGCUCGGUUUAUAGCAAAUUCGAUGACAUUGUGUUGUUAUCAGAGGGGGCACUUGUAUACAUGGGUCCGGCGAAGGAUGAACCAUUGACAUACUUUGCUAAAUUCGGGUUAUUACUCAGUUAUCUGGCUCAUAUAUGCUAUUCUUAGAAGUUGAUUAUGUUUUUUGAAGUUUCAUGUUACCCUUCAAUGCAAAUAACAAAUUAUCAUUGUGUCAAUAGUGGAACAGAAUAAUAAUAGAAUUCCCAUAUUCUAUUAACAGAAUAUAGUAGACCAGAAUGAUAAUAGAACAAAAUGUUAACAAACUAUCGAUGCAAGUUUCAAGUUAAUAGAAUUCCCAUUUUCUAUUAACUUGAGAUACACAAAAUUGGAGGUAUGGUGGAACAGAAUGAUGGACAGGAGUAUGUAGCAUGCCAAUGCAUGUAGCAUGCCAAUGCAAAUAAUAAACUAUCAUUGUGUCAAGAGUAAAACAGCCAUGGAAUGGUUUAUUGUUUGUAUCAGAAACUUUUUGGUGACUGAUACCAGUGGGAUUCUUUUACACUGAUGUCUAGUUUCUUGCUAUACUGACUUGUCAAGUUAUUGCGAUUCUUGAGUUACCUGAUGCCUCUUUGGCAGGUACCAAUGUCCUGAUCAUGUGAACCCUGCUGAAUUUCUGGCUGAUCUGAUUUCAGUUGAUUAUAGUUCAGCUGAAAGUGUGCAUUCAUCUCAGCAAAGAAUUGAUGAUCUGAUUGAAGUUUUCUCAAAAAGCAGUUUCAUGAUUCAGUGCACAAUUCCAAUUAUGCAGUUGGAUGACUCCAAGGUUUCCGCAAAAUUUGGCAAGAAAACCAUGGUAAAGAGGAGAAGUGGUUGGUGGAGGCAGUUCCGGUUGCUCCUUAAGCGAGCAUGGAUGCAGGUUUGUCAUCUAUUACCUUUUCUCUUAAUUCCUUUUGUCGGGCUUUAAAAAAAGGGUUGGAGAGAGGUGUUCUGCUGCUUAGAUGUCCUUAAUUUUAAUGAAAAAUUUAUAUCUUGUCAAAAGUGUGACAUCAGGAGAUUCAGAGUGUUGGGUCCAUAAUCUUGAAAAAUUCCCAAAAAUCCCAUAUCCAGCUGAUAUUAACUUGAAUAUAUUUUAGCUAAUUUAAAACAAGAUGACAUCUCACUGACACUAUCAGAUUCUAUGUCAUUUGGUUCUUAAUUUAUUGACCCCCCAUAUGGGUGAAGAGACCAGAGAAUUUUUAUAACUCUUUCCUUUUAAAUAGGAAAAUUAUCAUUAAUCACUGUGUCGAUAGUCACUGUUCAUAUUUGCUUUGAAAAUAUUCAGAGGUUGUUAUUGUGCUCAGGCUUCUCGUGAUGGUCCAACAAACAAAGUUAGGGCAAGAAUGUCAAUUGCAUCAGCUAUCAUAUUUGGAUCUGUUUUUUGGCGAAUGGGAAGAACUCAAACAUCAAUACAAGAUAGGAUGGGACUUCUUCAAGUAUGCAUCACCCUCUGUUUUCUCGUGUCUUUAGUGCAUUUAAUUGUUUGCAAACUAGCUAUUUAGCUGAUUAGAUCUGGUUGACAUUCAUGCUUGGUGGCUUGCAAUCUCUUAAUUGAUUCUUGUGUUAUUAACUAUAAUUCUUUAUUUGUUUAGCAUGUGGAAGUGAGAUGUGUAAACCUUUUAUUGUCUGAAUUAACUAAAGCUGCACAUAUGCUUUUCAUGUGUACUAAAAACAAAGGGGGUUGAGUUUUCUAUGGGGUAUCCUCAGCGUAUGGGACAGAACUGGAAUGAAGAACUCCUAGAUCCACGUUGCAAACUCCUAAAAUAUGGGGCCUCUAAAAUAUUUUUUGGCAAAUGAAAUGUGAGCUUCUGUGAUUAAUCGAUGGGAGUAUAUCAUAUGAAGUGUUUGGUGAAAACAGAGUAAAUAUCAUCUGCAAGAUAUCUUUCCUUGCACAAUGCAAGGGUUUCAUUAUCAUGCUGCUGUUGAGAAAAUGUCUAAAAGGCAUUUGAAUGCAUGAAAUGUGGAUGUUCUUAAAUGCCAGCUAAUUUUCUUUUGAGAAGGUUAAACUUCUUGGCACAUAGAAAUCUUUGUUUUCUUCCCAUAUUGGGAUAUUUAUGAACAUAGAUCAAUCAUAAUGGUAGAUCAAUCAUAACGGAGCCACAUUCACCAAGAUAAUGAGCACUAGAUAAAUAGAUUUUUUUUUCUUUCAUUAUUUGCUUGUGUAAAUUUCAUUUUUCAAAAUAGAGGUGUGCACGUGUAUUCUCUCUCCAUGGCAGGAUUUUUCAAGUAGUUUUGCAUUCCAAACUCAGUUGUGCACACAUGACGUAUCACCGCCAGAAAGUACUUGCAAUGUGCAUCAUUGGAGUUUCUGUCUUGAUGAUUAUAUUAAAAAAAACAAGAGUGCUAGUAUAAUUAAACACAUAGUUGAUUCAGAUCUUUGUUUUUGUUGGCUAAAGGUGGCUGCAAUUAACACAGCAAUGGCAGCUCUAACUAAAACAGUAGGUGUAUUUCCAAAGGAGCGUGCCAUUGUUGAUCGAGAACGUGCCAAAGAUUCCUAUGCAUUGGGUCCUUAUCUUUUGUCCAAAUUGCUAGCUGAAAUCCCAAUAGGAGCAGCAUUCCCCUUGAUGUUUGGAACAAUUUUAUAUCCAAUGGCUCGUCUCCAUCCUACUCUUACCAGGUCAGUUUUAGAUGUUUAUUCCUUAUAUAUUAUUGUAAUUAUACAGUAGUGUUUUUUCAUGCGUGGUUGAUAUCUACAUGUACACAUUAGGUUCUAUUUUCCAAGUGGCAAGCAUAUGCUAUUGUUUUUUGUUGAUUCUCACAGUAGCAAAUUACUAACCAUUUUUCCUCAUUUACUUCAUCCAUGUAUCAUGCUAGCAAUUUAUAGUAUUCAGCUUAUCUCGCUUCGACAAACCAAGGCCAUAGUCAUUUCAUAAGAGUGUCACAGUUUUAAUAUAGUAUUAGUUGUUUUUGUGUAUACCUGACACACAACUCUUGAAGCAGGUUUGCAAGGUUUUGUGGCAUUGUGACGAUGGAGUCCUUUGCUGCUUCUGCAAUGGGUCUGACAGUUGGGGCUAUGGUUCCUUCAACUGAAGCAGCAAUGGCUGUGGGCCCAUCCCUGAUGACUGUGUUCAUUGUUUUUGGUGGUUAUUAUGUUAAUGCUGAGAAUACACCUCUGGUCUUUCGUUGGAUCCCUCGAGUCUCUCUGAUAAGAUGGUAUGCCUAUUCUGUGACACUAUUCAUCAGACCAUCGGUGACGCAAGACACUUUUUUUUUCUUUCCUCUGAUAAGAUGGUACUAAUUAUUCUGUGACAUCAUGAAUUGGAUCGGUUAGUGACAACCAUAUUCGUUUUUCCAUUCUCAGGGCCUUCCAGGGGCUUUGCAUUAACGAAUUCAGUGGCCUUCAAUUUGAGCAACAACAUUCGUAUGAUAUCCAAACUGGAGAACAGGUAUGAGGGGAAUUCGAAAGUAUCUAUCACAGAACAUCAUCUCCAGGAUAAAGGCAGAAUUAACCUGUAGAAAGGAAAAACAAAAAGAUGAAGUCAAUUUACUGAUAGACUUGCCAAGUAAAUGAAUAUAGAUUUUAAUAAAUCAUAUAAUUAUAGAAAACUGGUGCAGCAUUUUAGUGUUCUCAGAGGAUAUUGCUUUGAUCUGUAAGUUUGAGCAUUAUCUUUUAGUUGCAUUUUCAUCUCAGACAUGCUAUUUUCCAUUAAUUCAGUAUUGGGAAUCAAGACAUUAUCAUUUUCUCAACUAAGAUGAUCGGUUUAGGUUGCAGCAUCACUAAUAGCCCAUAUUAACUGGAUGCAAUGUGUGUAUCCCUGGUGCAGCAUAUCUAUGAUCACUUGUUAGAUAGAAACAGAAGACAAAUGUCAAGUGCUCAACGUGCGAGUUACUAAUAGCGUAAAAUGGCUCAUCUUUAAAAUGAUGUCCAUUGAACAUACUAGUAUUUAGUUUUUGCAUGGUGACUGUUCUGAGGAUUUCAAUUAAUACCUUCCGUUCUAUGGCAUGGCAGGCUUUGGAGAGGCUUUCCUUUGGAGGCAGUCGAGUGAGGGAUACCAUUGUUGCGCAGGCCAGAAUACUGAUGUUCUGGUACUGGACCACUUACUUUCUGCUUAAGAAGAACAAACCAAAAUAUCAACAGCUUGUAUCCCCCGAUUCGUCGCAUCAACAACAGGUAUAGAUAGGUCAGUGCGAUCAGGAAUCGCAACAAGUACUUACAACUUGGUCUAAUGUUAGUGGAUUUGGUUCUACCAAAUUCUUUUCCUGCUGAAUUCCCCUAGUAUCAGAAACUCUGAAACUCUCUGUGAGCAGUAGGCUUUUCUUUUUUCUUGCCUGACUUCAGAAUCUGGCAUGGGUAGUAAUUGUUGUAUCAAGUUCUUUAAGCAAAUGCAUGUGGAAGCAAGUGAGUCAAUAUUUCCACAUCAAGUACUGAUUCUUUUACCUACAUCCGCAUCUAUUCUGCAUGGUGCAGACAGUCCAACUAAAACCACGAAUCUGAUGAGAUUGAUGAUAUAUGCUUCAGAUCUUCGAAAUCGAAUGUAGAUGUGAUUGCCAUGCAAACAACUUUCAAUACUUUCACUCUGAAGAGUUGUUGUCAAAAGCUUGUAUUAUGAUUUUUUUCUUCUAUUUUUACCCUUUUUAAAGAUACUUGCUCGCAUGAAGAAAAUUCUCAAGUUCUUCUUGACGAGAAAAUGACUGCAAUGUUGUAUUCGCUGAUUGACGCGGCAAAGCUUCCGAAAAAGAACUCACUGAAAGAACAAGAGUUCAGAACUCUCGACAUCGUUCAAGAACACCGACUGGAUUUGCCCCUGCGUAGAUCGAGAGGAGGUCGAUUCGAGAUCGAGAAGACUUGCACCCGAGAAGGGCAGCAGCCGCCUUUUGGUUCUUGAGGAAAGAAAACAUCUGUUCGUCCAAGAACAUCAAAGAGAUCUGCCCUUUCGAUCAGUCGGAGAACGAGAACAUUCGGGAUAUAAGGGUGGUUUAGUGCCGCCGUCCAAACAUCAAUGAAGGCAAACAAGAACGAAUCAAGAUGUGUGAGAAAGACUCGAAUGAACCCCUCAAAAUUAGAAGCUUUUCUUUUUCCAUCUCAUUUUAAAAUUAUUUCUCAAGUAUUGGAGGAUGAAGACACGAGGCUGCAUUAAUUUGGAUACGAGCAGAUCUUUGCUGGCAGCCAACGUCAAGGUUCUGUGCAUGAGCAUGGAGACAUCAAAUUAAUGGUAUUCACGUUGCCCGUCUCCAAUAAAUUGCCAUUUAUUAUCGACACAUCAAGGAAGAAAGAGAGAGAAGAAAACCUGGAAACUGGGCCACACUUUGCUUCGUUUACCGGAAGAUUUAGCUAGCACGCAUGUCUCUCCAUGCAUGGGUUUACAGCUUUUACGUUGUCCGAUAUUAUAUUCGCCGACAGCAACAUGUCGAUGAUCUCCUCGUAAGCAAACGUAUGAUUAGGGCUAAUAAGAACGAGGAAAGUUCCACAGCAGUCACAUCGAUCUCACACAGCCGUAGAAAACGUGAGAUAUUGCCCUUCAACCUCAACACGCUUGCUUCUUCGUUCAGCUUUCUUCUUUAAGCUUCCGCGUCCCACCACCGUGCCUGUAUGUAUAUAUACACACAUUCUUGUCAUCCUCUGCAUCAUCUAUCGACACAGCAUGGCAACCUCUUCUUUCGUCUCCCCAGUUUGCUCCUUGGGUUCUCGUCUCCUCGUGAAAACGAGCCUGCACCAGAAGAAGAGAUCAAGGCUCGUGGUUUCUGCUCGGAAGGAGGACGGCGGCGGCCAGCACUAUGGUGGCAGGCUUGUGGACGAGAACAUGGCCACGCUUCGGAGGCGGAUCCAUGAGAUGAAGGUGGCGGAGAACAACUACGAAGCCCCGAGGGAAUGGAUGGAGUGGGAGAGGCGAUACCACGCGAGAUACGGAUCGGAUGUGUCAGAGCUGAUGGGGUUGUUGCAGGUCUUCCUGCUGAACGCACGCCCUGGCGUGGGCUUGGCCGCCAUGGCGAUGCUUGCGCUGAGUAUGCCGGCAUCGGUGAUCUUGAUACUAAUGUCUCGAUCGUUCUAGUGACCGAGCUCAGUAUGGUCUGCAUGCAGCAAUGUAUUCUGGGAUCACAUACGUUGGAACAAGUUGGCUUUGUUAGCAUUUAGAUGCUUACCCAUUGUUUCAUUGUUCCUCAACUCUAUUAUGCACAGAACACCAUUAUAUGGUUGGUUUUGUUUGAAUCGCAAUCGAGUUUUCUAUCAUACAUCGAACAAACAAAUAAAAGGAAGGAAGCACAGCGACAAGCAUCAAAUCCCACCACACUGUCUCUCCUGAGCACACUCACGCAUCCCCCAUCUCUUCUUCCACCUUAUACAACCCUCAUCUUUGCGGACAGGAGUAGAUUGCCCUCGCAAACAGAUGUCUGUAGAUUGUAGCUUUUAUAUCCAUUAUAGGAGAGGAAAAGGGAAGACCAGUCCAAAGAAGUAGGUGCAGUAGAUCUUCCAUAACCACCUCCGACCUCCCUGAGGCUCAGAACAGUAUGCUUCUUCCUUGCCUAAGGCUUGAUUGUUUAUUACUGGUGAUUUUAUAUUAGAUAGCAGUUGAAGUCUUCUUCAGUACUAAGAAUGGUAGUUCUUGAGUUUGGUAGUGGUUGAAAGGUUCUAUCAAUUGUCCUUUUGUGCCUAAGAAAUCUUUUGUUUCUGCACCGAACCCGUAAAGCUUCCAUCGUUUAUUCAACUCGUUUCCAUUGAAUUCUAUAACUUGUUAAAGCCGUUCGAGAAAAGGUCGAUUAAGAACAUUUAUGAUCGGUAGUUAUGUAUAUAGCUUUCUGAAGAAGACCAGUCUAUCUUCCACCCUCGAUCGGUUCCUCCGAAAGAGAAGGAUGGAGAAAACCAGAAAAGGAAGGCGACAACAUGUGCACCCUUCUCCUUUUCUCUUCUUAAUUAACCAGCAGCCGUAUGCUAAACCAUCCCAGCCUACGAAGAGAUACUGAUCAUCUGUGAAAGAUGAUCAACACCAUCACGCAGAAGCAACAGUAUACCAAACCCAGCGUGCACUCCACCAUCUGACGUGCUCCCUCGCAUGGCGGAAGGCCAUGUGGUAUGGUGUGAUCCCUUAAUCUAUUGCACCUUUUCCUCCGUGUCUGCGGCCACCACCGAUCACGCACGAAGGAAGAAGAAGAAGGCACGGUCACCUUCAAGACAAACCACCUGAAUGGACAACAGUAGAAUAAAACGUCGGUUGCAUCGCAGCUUUGUACCAGGCGGUCCCCCUGUUCUUAUUCUUGUUCCUUUUUGUCUGCUUUAUUUCCUCCUCCUUUUCCAUCACAGAUGCAUUGUUUUGUCAUCCACAGAUUCAAUCAAAUCAGUCUCUUCUCUUCCCACUGCAUCACAUGCAAGCAUCCAAAACUAGAUAGUCGGACCAUCUCUUUCCUAAGAACAGAAUACUCAUAUCCUACCUGAGAAUCUUGAGAAAGCUAAGAUGUCACUGGAAGACACAUGCUCCAGCAUAAGAUAUCUCGUUUAGAAUCGCAUAAAUUAGCAGCCGUCACUAUCGUAAUCUUGCUUCUUAUACAGCAGACAUAUACAUUUACUAUUGAGUGUCAAACCAAAGGAAAUUUCAUCCUCUUUGUCUCCAACCAAUCUGAGUAAUUGGUGAAAUUCCACCAGUCCCUGCUUAAGCAUUUCCCUUCUCUCGCUUCCUCAGGAGCAUACUCAGGCGAGAGAAAAAUCUUGACCAACCCUUUUGGUGGAACAGGUUCUUUUCCUCCUUUAGUUUGAUUCACGGUAAAGCCAUCUAAUGACAGUAUCUACCUUUAUGGUCUUCUCGGUCUACUAUGCUCACACUAUUUGGAGCACGAGCAAACAAAUUCCUGUCUUUUCUCAUAGUCGUACGAUCAUAAUUGCACGGCUCCAAUCAGUGUCGCAAACCUACAGGUGGGAUUCUCUCCAAGCUAAAAUCUUUGUGUUUACGGUUUGGCUACGGUGUUAAGAUCCUGCGGAUGAUGAAUGGGGUUUAGCUCUAAUGGACGGUUUGGAUGUGAUUUAAAGGUUCCAAAUGCUCGUAUAAUUAGAGAAGAUCCUCGUUCUCUUUUUCGUACCCCAUAAUACCCCUAACAAGUGAACAAUAUUACUACCAGCCACAAACACGCAUAUCGUGGUGCACUCAAAGCGCACUUUGGUUAGAGCGAAGGAAACGGAACAGUGGCGUUUUGGUGAUUAUCUCAGAAUCGCAGGGCACUCCUUUCACUUUCACGACACGGGGUCAGCAGGCGAUUCGGUCGUACCGUUCCCCAUUCAAAGCGUUACGUAAGUCCACCAAAGACAGAGACCCGUUUCAUGACUCCACAACGUGGCGCUUGCUUUUGACCCUAAAGCAAACACGGACCCCACACGGAGUUUCCAUCGCAAUCCACACAGUUGUGCCUUUUAGACGACACGUCAUUGCGGGUAACGUUCGAGGUAUGAGAGAUUGCACCCCCCGUUCGCUUCCUUACUUUCUCUCCACUCCCGCCGAUUAAAAGCCGUCACCUUCGCAGAGCUGCCGCUCUUUUCCCCGGCUUUUCUUGUCAUCGGGGGCUGAGAUCGAACCCCUACUGGAUCUUUUUCUCCGAUCGGGUGAUGGACCUUGGCGCCGGGGCUGGUGGCGGCGGCCGAGGCGGAGGUGGAGCUGUCGUCCUGUUGUUCAUCGCCUCCGCCGCUUUCGUUGUUGUCUCCGAGGCGGCGCCGGCCGCGUUUGGAGGAGGGACCGCCGGAGAAUCCAUCCCAGGUCGGUGAGAUUAUUUUUCGUUCUUUGUUGGUUCUUGAAGCUUGGAUCCGAUCCCGUCACCUUCGGUCGAGACUGAAUUCUUCAUUCCAAAGAACGUUUAUUGGGAUUUCGAUCGAUUUGAUAUGUAUUGUUCAUGCAAUAAGAUUCUUUUCCGUCUUUUUUGGCUGUUCCCGUUUGAUGGAUUCCUUGGUUGACGAUGUAAAUUGAAGGGGGAGAGAACUUGCCGACAUGGGAGAAGGGUCUGUUGAAGCUGACGUCGAUCGCGUCGGGGCCUGUCGCCACGGCUCCCGACGCGAGGUUUCCGUUGGUCUUAGCGGCCAAGAGGACGAAGAGGCCGGACGUUCUUAACAAGUUCAGGAUGUAUCGAGGGGGCUGGGACAUUACCAACAAGCAUUACUGGGCGGUGAGUUCAUCAAGUCCUCCUCUUUCAUGCUUUAACAUGGUUGUGUUAUAUUAUGAUAUCUUAAGGGCUAAGAUGGCUUUGAUUUGUGAUAGAGACUAUGCUCUUCAACAAACAUAAAGGGAAUCUAUAUAUUUUCUUCUCAAGUGUAAUUGCACUCAUUUGUAUAUAUCUUAUUGUUAUCCCUGUUAUGCAUGUUAAUCAAUCAGGGUUUGGGGCUUUUCUUGUGGUCUUAGCAGAGAUUGCAUUACUGUUUCUGACAUGAUAUUUUAAAUUUUAUUUGUAUCUGUGUUCUUGGAGUUGUGAAUGGAAUUCUACCGACGCCAGAUAAAUAGAUCCCGGUUAGUGUUUCACCGACGUUGGUUCUGUUUUCAUUUUGCUCAUCAAGUUGCAAGACGAUUGAGGAUGGAUGUGGAAUGUCAAGAGAAAUAUAUUGUUUACCCAAUUUAGUGCUAGACUUGCAUGACUUUGUUUCUGAUGAAUGUUUCGCUACAGAUGGUAUCUGUGUGUACUCAUUCUGGGAUUGUAGAUUGGGCCCCAUGAGACACUGUCCAAGGAUGCACAAAAAAGGAAGGGUGUGGUUCUUGCAGCUGGUUUUGAGCAUCACUUGAAAUCCAUUCCUUUCUCUGAUUGCCCUUUUGUACCAUUCCAUUGUUGUGGUCUGAUGCAUGGAUAGCUUGACAUGAUCUUCUAUUUUGGUGAUAAUGUUUCUUGCUUAGAGGGCGGGCUUCGGUAGCCUCGAUACAAUGGUAAGGUAGCUCUUUUAUGACUUGAGAGACCAAGGGUUCGAGUUACAAAGAUGAUCUUUUUUAUAUUAUUUGGAUGUAAGGCUGUGUACAUUGACCUCUCCCAGAUCUCACAAUGGCUAGAGCCUCACGCACAGGGUAUACCUUUUUUUAAUCUUACGUGUGUCAUAGUAUCCACUAUCCAAUUCUUUCAGAGUUUUCAUGUCCCUCAUAAUGAUGUUAUCCAGUAAUUUCAGUUUUGACUCAUAAUAAGCUGGACCAGAGAAUCACAAUAAAGGGUGGCAUUUCAUGUAGCUGGUCUAGAGCAUCUCCUGGGGUCCAUUUCUUUUUCAGGUUGCGUUUGUAUUCCAUCCUAUAGCUAGGGUCGGAUAAUUGGAAAUCUUGUUAUGAUCUUCUAUUUUGGUUCAUAGUCUUGCUGGUGUCAUAGUAUCCAGUUAUUUUGGAGUAUGCAUGUAUCCCAUAAUGAUGUAUCCGGUAAAUUCAGUUUCGACUCAUAAUAAACUGGACCAUCUUUUGAUGUUGUUAAAAAUGCAAACUGGUUUUCAAACUGAUUGCCCUUUUUUAGUAUCAUGUUCUUCUUUAAAAUACACAGGCAAAUAUUAAGUUAUGUUUGCCGUAGUAUUCUAUUAAUUGGGAUUGUGUAUUGCUGAUGAUCCCACCAAAUAUGAUUGGACUAUUCAAGGAGUGAAGAAUGCCUCUGCUUUGAUUAAAUCCAGUCAAAUAUGCAUCUUUUUCAAAAUGUGAAAUCGAUUUUUUGUUCUUUCUCUUGACCCCUAAAUUAUUAUUAGAUGUCUUUUGCUAUAUAUUAACUGCUGUUUGUGUAGUCUGUUGCUUUUACAGGAGCUGCUGGGUUUCUCCUUGCAUUACUGUGGUUGGUUUCCUUUGGACUGGCUUUAGCUAUACGUCUCUGCUGUGGAUGGGGACCACAAAUCAAAGAUGAAGGCUCUUUCUGCAAACAACGUGUUUGUCUUAUGUUGCUGUUCGUCUUCACUUGUGUUGCAUCGUAAUGUUCCUAAGCUCUUAACUUUUUUCUUUGGGCAAAAUUUAAGCUUUACAAUAUCUCCAUGAGAAAAUUCUCAUUUAUCAUCACGUGGAUUAUCAAACGCUAAAUUGUAUGUUAAAUGGCUAAGUGGCAUUUGUCUAACUAGAUCCUCAAGAGUAUGUCGGGUACUUCUUUAAACUGUUAAGCAUGAUCUACAUUGUUGAGAUGUUUUGGCACAUUCAUAUUGUCUGGAGUGGUAUCAUGUAUGUCAUCAAAUAAGAAGCCUGAAAAUGGAUAUAGUUAAUAUGAUUAGUAUGUCAAAUAAAUUGUAGACCAUUUUAAGAUCUGAACCAUUGAUCUGAUUGAGAUACAAUUCGAAAACAGUUUAGUGUCAUCUGGUUGACAUAGAAGUUUGGAAUCUCUGGAUUACUGCGUUCCAUUCUUCAGAUGCUUCUUUCCUAGUUUAUGCGUCAAAUUUGUUUCCAUGCAGGACUGGAUGCAUUCUGCUUUCUGUGGAACAGGCUGAAUUUCAUGACGAAGUGAUGGAUACCUUGAGUUUUGUAGUCAACCAAUCAGAUUUUACAGUUCAGAUUCUAAGGAAUGUCACCGACUUUCUAUCCUCUGCAAAGACUGUCAAUGUUGAAGAGGUCUAUCUUCCACCAGAUGCUCAGAAUGAAAUUGACAAGUUGAAUACAAAUUUAGAUGAUGCAGCUAAUGCUCUUUCAGAGAAAACAGAUCAAAAUUCUGGCAAAAUUAAAGGAGGCAUUGAUUUUGUGUAUGCAUUUACGACAUUUUUGCUACUUCUUUGGUCUGUGUAUCUCAUCUUAAUAUUCCAUGCUUCAUUUUCUCUUUGUUUAGGCAUUGCACAUUGAUCGGUGUAGCCUGUUUGAUGCUUUUGCUGGCCACACUUGGUUUUGGUAUGUAAUCUCUAAUUCGCUAUAUUGCAUUAUCUUCUGACUUGUCUAUUCAUGUCUGUUGUUUGCUGUGUCUUAGUUUUUUGACUAAUUCUCAUAUUGACUUUGACAUGCAAUUUGCAUUUCCCACUUUUUUCUGCUGCAGUGUUUUCAAUAUGUGGGUACAGACACACGAUUUACAUGUAAGUUGAGAAGUUGCAGGUUUGCAGCGUAGAUAAAUUCUGGACUAUGGUGUAUUUUCAUUUUGAAUAAAGAUUUUAGAAGACUACUUAGGCUUCUUCUUAUGUAUAAUCUUUCAGAUUCAUAAUGAGUGGUUGGCUACUUGUGGCAUUUACCUUUGUUCUCUGUGGAACUUUUGUGAUGCUUCACAAGUAAGAAUAUUAAUUUUCUAGUUCUCCUUUUUUUCAUUUGUCCUGUUGUUUAUCAAUCACAAACUUAUCCAUGAUGUUCCGUAAAACCUAGGGAGCACAACAAAUUUGGUUUUCACUUUGGCAUAUCAGAAGAUUCACAAAUGCUUUCUUCUGCAGUGCUACAGUUGAUACUUGUACAGCUAUGGGUGAAUGGGUUCGUUAUCCUUAUGCCGAGACAGCCCUGAGCAAUGUUCUCCCAUGUGUCGAUGAGCAGACCACAAAUCACACUCUGUACCAAAGCAAAGUAGUAGUCUACCAGCUUGUAAACAUAGUCAACACAGCAAUAUCUUCAUCUGUGAAUUCAGAUACCUCGUCUCGGGAGAAGAAAACUUAUUCGUACAACCAGUCUGGGCCCAUGGUUCCUUAUCUCUGUUCUCCCUAUGAUUUCCACCUGCAAAAUCGACAGUGCAACCCUGACGAGGCGUCGGUUGCUAAUGCAUCACUGGUAUGUAAACAACAGCCCUUAAGAAUAGUCCUUAGUUUGCUUUUCCUUAAGUUCAUAUCUUCACGAAGAAUUGAAAAGUAAACUGUACUAUUUUGACGAACCCUCUUCUGAAUUUUUUUCAACUCAAGAAAUGAAACAAGCAUUUGGUGGCUGGUAUGUGCUGUUCUACAUGCUGAUUCUCUAGUUUAUUUGUCUGUUAUAUCCUAGCCAUCUUUGGUAACCUGUGGUAGAUAUUGCACCUUCUGGUUUGAUGUGACUAUAGUACUUACAGGCUCUGCUUAUUUUCAUUACUGUGACCUGCAUGGUUGAAACUGAAACUAUGGAGACAAAAUUCACUUAUAUGACAAAUAGGCUUUGCAUUUUGGCUCCUCAACUUCAGCAGUCUCCUCAAAGCUCUUCUGUAUAACAUGAUCUCUCCAUUUGUGAUCAGUAGCAGAUAUUUAUUAACUGGCCCUUAGAUCAUUUUUCAGGCAUUUUGUCUCAUUUCCUUCAAAGCUCUCCUCUGACUCCUAGGGUACUCAUUUAAUAUUAACAGGCUUUCACAUGUUGAAACUUCUCAGGUAUGGGAGAAUUACACAUGCAAGGUUGCUGAUUCAGGUUCAUGUGUCAGUCGUGGAAGGCUUACCCCUGGCAUUUACGAUCAGCUGGCCAUGGCUGUAAACGUGAGCUAUGCCCUCUACCACUACACACCAUUCCUACUCAGCCUUCAGGACUGCAAGUUUGUCCGAGAGACCUUCAACACUAUCACCACUCUCUACUGUCCUCGACUGGAAAAUAACCUUCGGAUGGUCAAUGCAGGACUAGCACUCAUCUCAAUCGGAGUCCUUUUGUGCCUUAUCUUGUGGAUCGUCAACGCAAACCGCCCCCACAAGGGAGGAGGUGUUUGUGCUGCUGUCUGAAGUUAAGAAUUUUUUUUUUUUCAGAUAGCAGUAUCUUAAUUAAAUGAUCUAAAUUAUCUCCUAGUAUAUAAGCAAUACAUACAACUCUUCUAGCAUUUAUAUCGAAAUCGCAACCCAAGUGGAGCAAAGCGUCACUUGUGGUGAUAUGUAUCAAAUUCCUAUCUCUAGUGCAGUUGCUGUAACUCUAAAAACUCAUAGGUUUUUGAGCCUUAAGAAAUAUAAUAUUAAGUUUAUUUCUCUUUUCAAGUUUGGUGUUUUUUGUGCAGUCUUUGCCAUCUGUUUUUGCAUUGGUGUGAGUCUUGUUCUGUUGAGGCCAGGUGGAUUGGAAGGCAGGUUUAACAAAAGUACUUCCUCAUCCAGGAUCUCAAGUUGCAUCAUUGCCUCUGUGGUGGUCCUUCCUGUAGUAUCAUCAUGUGGAGCUGCUACUCUCCUGUUACUUAUUUCUAAAGGGACCACCUGCAGAUUGAUGGUUGAAUGGCUUUGUUGUACUGAUCACAACUGCUCCAUCAGAUGUUAUAUAUCCUAGGAUCGAUGUGUACUGACACUGACAUGACCCUGACAUAAAACUUUGCUUGGCUU
This 63150-nucleotide long non-coding RNA is filed under the name Musa acuminata (dwarf banana). Its description in RNAcentral is "long non-coding RNA (MACU_LNC006121)". The record is from RNAcentral. Lineage: Eukaryota; Viridiplantae; Streptophyta; Magnoliopsida; Zingiberales; Musaceae.